UUGAAUUGGUUGCUAUCUACUAUGGGGUAGCUAAUGGCUUGAUUAGCUUGAACUCCUCGAUUGAACUCCUGUGUGUGGUGCAAGGGCAGAUCUGACAAAGCACUCUUGAACUCUACGAAGUUACAGAUUGAUUUGAUCUCUAUGAUCUAUAUGUUAUAUAUGUCUAUUUAUUUAGAAUUAUAUCACUCUCUGUGUUCCCUGUUGGCAAGUCCCAUACGAGAAAUGCUUCUUAACCUCAUCUAUUUUCUUCAUUAAAUUUGAAACGCCGUACGCUGGAUUACUUGAAACCACGAGCGCAUAUGGCUAUCUCCUAUAUGCAUUUGGCUUUCAAACGGAGUUGUGCGUUUGUAUUUAUACAUACCAGUUAGUACUAUUAGUCAAGUGUAAACUAUACAGAUUCUUAAAUUGACAGAAAACUCAGCUAAUUUAUAGGGCCCGCUUGAAUGUGUUGAUGGAUGACGAAUAGUUGACCGACUUUGACACAAAUGAAUUAAUAACUGUGAUCAAAGUUGAAAAGUUCCUUUCAAAAACUAAGAAAAAUCUCGCUCUCUAAUUUAGAGUGUCGGUUAUACUAUACCACAGUCCCAAGGGGGAGCAACCGGCCAAGGCCUCCCGCACAGGCAGAGCACAGCCGGUCAGCCACACUGCCCAGGCACCGGCACGCGAUCAGCGAGCGGCGGCCGGCGGCGGAGCAGCAGGCCGCGCGGUCAGCAGGCGGGCGCGCCCUCCUAAUCCCCCGGCCCCUUGCAGCACAGCCAGCACUACACCCCUUCUCUGCGCUGCGCAUCCCUGGGCUGGGCUGGGCUGGGCUGGGCGACUCACCAUCAAUCGGCGGGUUGGUGGCUGCUCUCUUCACCCCGCCGAUUGUGCUCAGUUCAUUCUCGGUCUUCCUUGUACUCGGUCUCUUCAUCGGCGGGAAGAAGCUGGCCAGUUCAUUCUAACUGCCCUCUCCUACUUUCGUUCGUCAUGUUGUUGUGCUGUUAGGAAAACACUAUGGACGGAUUUUUGUUUGAGUGCUGAUACUUUCCUGUAAAUUUACUUCUUAAAUUAUCACCCUCGGCUGAAAAGUCAUGAUUUUACUGAUUUAUUGUAAGAAGAAAAAAAAAACACUGCUAAUCGAACAGACCUAUUACUUUGGUCAAGUGAUGCUUUGAUCCAAUAUUUUGUUUCAUGGCCUUUAUUAACAUUAAGUUGUUUAUGAUAUACUCAUACGUGCCUUAUCAAGUUGUGCGCUCAAAUUAUGCCAUAUGUACCGUGGGUGUGAUUUCAUCAAGUUGUUUAAAACCAAUUAUUUACUGGUAUUAUGUUACUUUUUAUGAAAUCAUGCGUAUUUAUUAUUAUUAAAAAGAUAUUCGACGUAUCUCUGUGUCAUUUUUUUUUUGAAGAAUUGCAUGUCAUAUACGAUACAUGUACCCGUAUCUGGGCAAAUGUUCAUCAUUGCUACUAAAUGCCUCAAAAGGAUAGUACAAUAUCUCACUCUACUCGUUUGAGUUUGAGUGAUUUAGGCUUUGUUUGGAUAUUAUAGUAGUUAGAACUCUAGUUUUAGAAGUCACUAAUUUGCGAAACUAUGGUUUAAAAGAGGAGUCUAGAGUGGAAUUUUUAAAAUUCCAAAACACUAAAGUUUUAACAAUACCAUGGUAUUCAAACCAUGAUAUUUCUUACAUCCAAAUAAUUCAUAUCACUCUAAACCCAAAGUAUUUCACAGAAUCAUGAUAUUUUCUAAAACUUCAAAAAUACUUCAUAUGUAAAAAGGGCCUUUAGUGUUUUUCUUGACCAUUACAUCUAGGUGCAACCAGAGGCAAGCCCAGCACUAGACCGUGCAACUAGCUUCAUCAUACUAAGGGUUUGUUUAAUUCCUCUUGCUAAAUUUUAGCGAGCUAAAACUAUUUAAGCUACUUUUGGGUGACUAAAUUAUUUUAGUUUUUUUUUAGUUAGUGUGUUUAAAAUUUAGUUACUAAAUUGACUAAAGUUUAGCUAGCUAAAAUUUAAUAAGAGAAACUAAACAGGACCUAAAUAUGGACAGUUCUAUUAUUAGAAUGUCCGACUUAAGGAAAGGGUGGCUAACAUCUCACUUCUCUUUUUUUGGCUUAAAAUUGCAUCAAUGGAUCCGUUAUCUCCUUGUCCCCACCAGGCUUUUGAGCUGAAAAACACUUGUAAUUGUUUUCCUUUUAAAGGAAGUUUGAAGAGUAUAGUUUAUUUUCUAUGAAAGUCGAUUUAAGCUCGGUUCAUCUUGCUAGGCUCGGCUAGACGUUGAAAAUAUGUUAGAUCAGUUUCAAAGAAAAGCUGAAAACAUGUAAGCUGACUCAUCAUUAUCCACCCGGUGCAUAUAUUGCAAGCAAAAACAAAAAAUAAUAAUAAUUUAUCUCAUAAAACAUUUAUGGGAUGGUCUUAUGAUUGACAAGCACGCCUGUAUCGGAUGAUCUGAACCGUCAGAUUAUGAUUCUGAUGACUUGACGAGACGGGUCGGUUGGACAGGCCAAAACCAGGCAUAGCGAUGUCCACUUCGGGGCAUCUGUGUCUUUUGGGUUUGGCCCAUUUCUUCGCUUCCUUCCGCAACCGUGCGUUCCAACCCAACCCCCAACACCCCAAAUCGCAGCAGUUUCACUGCGCCACAGUACAAUUCCUGUCGCGCACCGCCCGAGCCGGCCAUAACAGCGACAGGCCCCUCGCGCCGAUCGCCGGGCAAUGGGAGCUGGGCGGGGGCGGUGAUGGGCGCGGCGGGCUCCAGGCUGGAGAAGGCGCUGGGCGAGCAGUUCCCCGAGGGCGAGCGCUACUUCGGCCUCGAGAACUUCGGCAACACCUGCUACUGCAACAGCGUGCUGCAGGUACGCCGGGGCCGGCGGCCCGAAUCUCUCUCUCUCUGCUCGUUGCGAUGCGAGCUGCUACCCCCGUCAGAGGCGUGGCGGAUUUGUUGGUUCUCUUCCGUGCGGGGGCGGUGUGGAGCGAUGCCUGUUUCGCGAGAUCGUGUCGCGGUGUUUGCGCCCGUGUGGUGCUCGCGCCGAAGAUCAGCGCUAGAUUUUCUGCGUGGGGGAGUUUUUGUGAUUGUUGAGCGGUGCCGGUGGUAUGUUUCCUGUUCUAUUUUUUUGCGACAUGAUCAUAGAUCGUCAUAUUUGUGUGAACCGAGAGACUGCUCAGUUGGUUUGACAUCGGGAAAUUGGGGAAACGCAUGGUUUCUGUACGUGUUGAAGUAGCACCUCGUUCAGCAGCAGGAGCGUUGCCUCACUUCAGAAACCCUUUUUUCUUUUUUCUUUUUUACAUCUAUGGAUUGUGGAGGACUCAUAGCUUCUGUAUGUAUUGACAAUUUAAAAUGCAUGUGUUAGCAUCAUGGUAAAACUCUCUGUUCAGAUGUAGGAGCUUUGACACGGAUAGUUAGAUGUGGAACAUUUUGGUCAGUAACAUUUAUAGAAAGAUAUGAUACUGUUCUCAUAAUGUGGGAUCUAACUGUUUCCUGUUUCAGGCACUUUAUUUUUGUGUUCCUUUCCGUGAUCAAUUGCUGGAGUACUAUGCAAACAACAAAAACACCGGAGAUGUUGAAGAGAACAUGCUAACCUGCCUGGCUGAUCUGUUCUCUCAGGUACUACUGCAGCUAUUGGUUGUUGUGAUUGUUAUUCCCGUUCACAACUUCUUGUAUAUCCUUCAACAUGUAGGAAUCACUAAUAAAACAUGUUGAAUCUUGUGUGGAAUUGUAGAGGUUUUGGUUAAUUAAUCACAAGUUGUCCUGAGCGAAACUGUAUCUGAAGAUGACUGCAGUUAUUAAUUGAUCGCAUGUAUAUUGAAUAAAUACCAUCGGAUUUCCUCCAAUAAAGUUGCUGGUUAAUUUGACAGUUUCCCAUGAUAUGCCUAUAGCUCUACUCGUUGUUAUAGAGUUAAUUUGUUCUUCCUUAGUUUGAAAUCGCAAAAUGAUGUUCCAAAGUAUAAAUUUCUACAGUUUAACCACAUAACACUCGAUGUGCAAAAUUAGUCUUCAGCAAUAAACUACCAAUAUGGCCUUGUAUCUCUUACCAUCUAAAGUGUAAGAGGAGCAUGCUAGAAAGGAGCACUCUGUGUUAUUUGGAUUGUGUAUCUUCUUCUUGUAACCUCUGUAAAUUGAUGAUUUGGACUUCUCGAGAAAAUCUGUAAUUUAAUAAACCUAAACCUGGUUCUAGGAGUAAUGCCCAUUAAAUGAGAAAAUUUCAUAGGACAUGCUCCAUUGUUGCCUUACUUUACCACUGACUUUUCACAGAUAAUUUUGUGUUAGCCUUUGUACUGACAGAUAUUUAUGCGCUCGUCAAUUGUAUUGUGGUUUUACACUAUUUUUAAGUCUGAAAUAUGUACAAUGUUUUGGGAAAAUCCUUUUAUCUGGAGGCCUCUUACUUGUUUGAUACAAGUGAAUAUUGGAUGGACUGAGGAAGAAACCAACAGUCUACUUCAACAAAAUAAUUAUCCCUUUUUCAUUGUCCAUACAGAUCAGUAAUCAGAAGAAGAAAACAGGGGUUAUUGCUCCUAAGCGUUUUAUACAACGAUUGAAGAAACAAAAUGAGAUUUUCCGCAGCUAUAUGCAUCAGGUAAUACAUUUCGCCAGUGACGUCUUCCAAUGUGUAUUUUGUAGUUUUAGCAAGCACGCGGUCACAUUAUAGUGUGCUCAUCACCUUUUGAGUAACUUUGCUGGCCCUCUGAGAUAGCUGUUAAACCUAGGUGCAGUCUUUGUAUGAAUCACUGUUUAUUUCCAGAUGCGUUUUUAAGUAAUUUCCACGUGAAAUGAUGCAAUACUGAAUUCAAGGUUCUAUAUUAGUAUAUAUUUUCAACUCCUUGCAAUACCGAGAAAUCAUGGGAACCUUCUAUCUGAAUCUUACUGUACCCUAUGUUCCAUAAAUAUAUUUGCUUAAUAGCACCUGGAGAUGGUUCCCUGCUAGAUUUACGGAGAAUCUUAAGCAUUUUAGAAUAAGUUCUGGAUUUGUAAAGGCCAUCUCUAUUUUGGCUAUUUAUCAGUGAUUAACUGAGAAUCCUGGGUAUAUGAGAUAUGGUAAUAACUAAUACCUAAUAACUGUGAAGCAUUUUAAGACAUGUUGAAAAGAUAUGUAGUUAAUUGUUUUUUAUUUAUGAAAUAUGUAGUUAAUUGUUGCUAUAAAAAUCAUCUUCUCUUCCAAGAUCAUGCCAUUUAUAUUAUGCUUUUUUCAAUCAUUGUAGUGUGACCUUUUUCGUAUAGAUUGUGAACUCACACUAAUGUACUUUACAGGAUGCUCACGAGUUUCUGAAUUUUUUGCUGAAUGAGCUAGUUGACAUUCUAGAGAAGGAACAUAAUGCUGCAAGAGAACCUCUUCAAAAUCUCCCAUUCCAAAAGAAUUCAAAUGGCACUAUUGAUGGCCAACCCAAUGGUAGUCACAAAGAAUUAGCUGCCACAUGGGUUCAUAAAUGCUUCCAGGUGAGAUUUCAUUCAUUUGUUCUAGCAUGCUUUUGUUUGUGUGCCUAUAAUUCUUAAUUUUGUUCCUGUAGGGAAUAUUGACUAAUGAAACAAGGUGUCUGAGAUGUGAAACUGUGACUGAUAGAGAUGAAACAUUUUUUGACCUGAGCCUGGACAUUGAACAGAAUAGUUCACUCACCAGCUGUCUUAAGAACUUCAGCUCAACAGAGACUUUGAAUGCUGAGGACAAGUUCUUCUGUGACAAAUGCUGCAGGUAUGUUGCCCAUAUUUUCUCCAUGUAUAUAUUGCCUUCUAAUAUUUUGUCCUGGCUAACAUUGGUUCUGUAGAAUAUCCUUUGAGGCAUGUGUUUAUGUUAGUUCUUGGCUCCGCUUGUUUUGCUUUUUUUUAUAAAAAAAAUGUGCUUGAAUAUACUGCAAAUUAUCCAAUACCUCUAGCAGAUCUUCUGGGCUAAUGGCUUGGUUACCCUUCUGUUAGGAGAUGCUUUUGUCUGGCAUAAUUGUGAUUUAUAUAUUGUAAUUGCUAUUUCAUUUUUCCAAUUUCAUAUGUUUUGAUGAAUUUGUUCUUCACUUCAGUUUACAGGAAGCACAAAAAAGGAUGAAGAUAAAAAAACCACCAAACAUCCUAGUAAUUCAUCUCAAACGGUUCAAGUAUAUUGAGCAGCUUCAGCGCUACAAAAAACUAUCAUACCGAGUGGUUUUCCCACUGGAGCUUAAACUUCUUAACACAGUUGAUAAUUCGGACUUGGAAUACUCCCUUUUCGCUGUGGUAGUUCAUGUUGGAAGUGGGCCAAAUCAUGGCCACUAUAUCAGUUUGGUUAAGAGCCACAAUCAUUGGUUAUUCUUUGAUGACGAGAACGUUGAGAUGACUGAUGAGUCCAUGGUACAGGCAUUCUUUGGCUCACCGCAAGAGUUCAGUGGUAACACUGAUAAUGGCUACAUACUCUUCUACGAAAGCCUUGCUGAAAGAAGUUGAUGUCCUUCUCAUACCAAGUGAUUAGCUAUACACUUUUCUUUUCCUUCCAUUUCUGCUGGGGAUAUAUAGAAUAUUCAGUGAAAACUAGAAUAAGCUGAAUGAGAGGCCUUCAGCUUCAGAUGUUGUAGUACAAUCAAUACCUGGCAAUAAAACAAGUUACCUUGAGGGGCUAUAGGCUAUAGCUGAAGACGCCGACUAGUUUGUAGUUCCAACUUUAUCUGUUUUUAUGCACAUACAGGUUGUAUCAAUUCCGGAAUAAUGUUUGUUGAAGACCUUUAUUAUCAUGUAAUAUUUUAUCUAGGAAGCCUUUUUUGGUUUCGAGUAAAGAUUUUGUUUCUUAGAUGAAAAGAUCCUGUCGAUCUUCAUUAGGAUCCUCACCUGCUCAUCGGUAGCUGACACAAGUCCUGUACAGUUUCCAGAUUACCUCCUUUGUGUUAUUGUGCCCUGCUCCUAUGGUACAUAACAUAUUUCAGAAUUUUGAAGAUGGAUCUGAGAUUAUCUCAGAAGCUACAUAUUGGUUGAAUUCUGAAUGCUUUUAUGCAUAAUAAAAUAACUGGCCGGGGGGGGGGGGGGGGGGUAUCUGUCCUUUGUAUCUUCUUUUUUCUUUAAGUGCAAUCUGUCCAUUGUAUCUGGAGAUAAGAUACGACACAGCCGAAUUUGGAUGCUGUAGGCCUGUUAAGGGCCUGUUUGGAUGCAAAAGUAUGUUUAGGGCCUGUUUGGAUGCAAAAGUAUGGUUAAGGUUUUAGAAAAAUAACAUCUAAAAAAUUAUCAUUGUUGAUCUCAGGAGAGAGAUACAACAUUUGUACAGAAAUAAUUUGGUUUUGAAAAGCUAUGACGUGUCUGGCAACGAUAAACCCUGUGGUUUUGAAAGUCAUGACGUUGUUAAAACGGUAGUAUUCGCACACAGGACACAGCAUAUAGAUUCUAGAGUAUAGCUUGGGGCAUUACAUUAACAUAGGAUGUAAUGGCCAUGAUCACUUGGAUGAAAGCUAAUAAAUACAUUUGAGUAGUUUCCCUGUUUGGAAUGAAGGAAAAAAACACAGAAAGAGGAUAGGAAUGCAAUGAUAGAAUAGAGGAUAGAAAAAACACACGAAUUUCAUAGAAGUGGGUGUUUGAAAACACAUGAAUACAAAGAGUAUAUAUGAAAUAUAUGAACCAAACAGUAAUCCCAUUUUAUUAGUUGUUGUGCCAAAUGGUGGGCCCACUCAAUAGUUGCCCCACGAGUCAUCAAGCCUGCUCUUCAUCUUGAAUCAUACAAGCCUGCUCUUCAUUUAGGGCUUGUUUGGCACAGCUCAACUUCACUAGUAAAGCUGUUUUUUUAGAAAAUAGCUUCAUGAGUGACUUUCUAGAUGAAGCUAAGCUGUUUUGGAAAAAGCAUUUGGCAAAAUAGCUUCACCAACUACUUCAUGCAUAGUUGAGAGAGAGAAAUGAGGGAGAAGCUACAAUAAGCUACUUUUUUUCAGCUUCAUCCAACUUAUGUUUUUGUGAGAGGAGGGGAAAAACAGCUUCACCCAUGAAGCUGUUUUGGAAAUAAGUGUUUGGCAAAAAAAAACAGCUCACAACAGCUCAUGAAGUUGUUGUGAGCUGUACCAAACAGGCCCUUAGUAGUGAUUAUAUCACUAACAAUGAACAACCCUCAAAGACAUAGUGGAAACAAAUCCAUGCCAACAAAAAGAAAUUAUAUGAGUGAUAGUAGUGUAAACUCUCCUGAGCAUAGUUGGGCACCCGUCAAUAGGCAGUGCCAGAAGUUCCAUGCAAUUUCGAGGCGGUCGAGUGUUGUAAAGAGAGCGAGUUUUUCUUCGUACGCACUGAUUGAUUUGAUUUCGAUGUGAGCCUACUGUAAUUGCGUGGUAGCCUGAUAAGUGAUAAGCACGGGCACGGCUGCAAGAGCAAAAGGACCAGUCAGAAGCAUUUUAAGCAGAAUUUCGCUUAGAUUCAGUCAUGUCAAUGCCGGACGAAGCAGCAGGCGACGGUUCUCGCUGAAUCAUUGGAUCGGCCGUUGGUACUUAAUUUCUGCCCAAAUGUUUGACACGUAUUCCCUCAGUCGCAUAAUAUUUCAUCUUCUAGCCUAUAGUAGCUUCUUUACGUGCCGGUCUCCUCGGAUCAGCUGAUGAUCAGGGGAAGGUCGAAGGUGAAUGCGUCACCGCAAAUUUCAACGUCGUUACAUUAUAAUAUCCAGGUAACCGGCUGUUUGUUGAUUUCGAACUAUAGUAUCCCAGUCUCAAAAUGUAAAUGAAGCAAAAUCAUUGCUUGAGAAAACAAGUCCCUGCAUCCUCUGAAUCCAACGGUAGCGACCAACGCUUUGUUUAAUUGCUGCUACUGUUGCACGUAGUGUCUGCAGGCAAACGUAUAGAAAUGGCAUGACUGACUCCAUGCCCCUCUCCAUAUAUAGAGGAAAGGUCCAAGCCAUAAAAGAAUUUCAAGGAGAAUUUGUGUCUUUAUUUAGGAAUAGAAAAAGAAGACCUUGACCCCUGAAUUCCCCCCUGAUCACGACUCGCGCGGACACUACUCAGCAGGUCGAUUACUCAAAAAAACUACUCAGCAGGUCGUGUCUCCGGCAUGACAAAGCUCUGAAAAAGCGCAUGCCGAUCGAUUACAGCAGCUUCAUUGGCGUUCAUUAUUCAACGGUGGCAGCGCCAGCGCCAGGGGAUGCAACCAAAGGUUGGCUGCUAAAGUAGGCUUCUCUCUUUGACCCAGUGGUGUGACGACGACAGGGAAAGCUCGCAAAACCAUCCAGGCAUCUGAAUCGACGUAACGGGAAUGCGGGUUGACACUGUCACAUCUGAUCUGAGCUUGACUAGCACAAACUGUCUUUUUGUGGACGGUGAGAGUACUUAUGUAAGGCCUUGUUUAGUUUGCAAAAUUUUUUGGAUUUCGAUAUUAUAGCACGUUUAUUUUUAUUUGACAAACAUUGUCCAAUCAUAGAGUAACUAAGUUUAAAAGAUUCAUCUUGCGAUUUUACAGACAAACUGUGCAAUUAGUUUUUGUUUUUAUGUAUAUUUAAUGCACCAUGCAUGUGCCGCAAGAUUCGAUGUGAUGUGGAAUCUUAACAAAUUUUUGGGAACUGCCUGAAGAGAUGUUGUGAAUUCGUAUAAGGUUUUAAUAAUGUGCUAUGCUAUUUAGUGAUGGACUCCUUAAAAAGCUGUAAAAAACCGCAACUACAUUUAAUAGAAUUCACAAAAAAAAACUUUUCAUUUACCGGUUUUGCUAAAAGUUAUCAAUUAGUUCUGCAAAAAAAAUAGAAUUAAGAUACUCAAAUACAUGUUUAGAGCUCUAGGAAAAAUGUCAGCAGCUCAAUUACUUUACAGUCAUCUAAUCAAUUACGUAACACUAUAACCAACAUUCAUAUUCAUUCAACAGUUAACUCAAUAAUUAUACAAUAGUUCAUUACGGCCCCGUCACGUACGGCUUUAGGAGCCGUUUGAAGACGUUUUAUGCUAAACGAGAUAAAAUAGAAUGACUCCAUUAAUGAAGUCCGAGUUUUGAGACGUGAAUGAGCCAAAAAAUAGUGGCUUCUCUCGGCUUCACCUCAUCCUACGUGGCGUUCUGUGAGAACACAUUUUAAGAAAAGAAUUGUUUUGUCAAACAAUUUACUAAAAUGGCUCCAACUCCACCGAUAGAGUUGUUCAUGGAGUUGAAGCCCCCAAAAACACUGGUGAAGUGGAUCCGUGCCAAACAGGCCUACAUUAUGUAUUAAAUAAAUGCACAACUGAGAUGCAUAUAUUCCAUUAAUCUAAAGCAAAGGAUGAAUAUUUGCGUCGGCCAAAAUUAGAGGAGAUAAAGAAAAACUUGCGGCUAAGCCAAAUAAUGGUGUUUAUCAGAGCUAAAGCGUCCGGAUGCCUACGAUUUCAAUUCCACCAGGCGCACCAGGAAUUCACCGAAGUGGACGGCGGUCGGCGGUAAACAGAGCUGAAUUUCUAUGCACGGAUCGAUUUCGAUGUGAGGCUGAUAGAGUGAUACGCGAUCGCAGGUGAAGACCUGGCAUGGUAGGUCAAGGCGGCCGGCUGCAAGCUGCAAAUGGAUCAGGGCGGCCCUCCUCCUCGGGAAGAGUGACCGGUGGCCGUGGGUGGAAAACCGGCGCAGAGUCUACAGCGACGAACACGAACUGGUGUCGGCGCACGACGCUUCCGAUCGAGAUGCCUGCAUCACAUGCCGCCCUGCGCUGCGCAGGUACGGGAAGGAAGAAAAGAAACGCAGGAAUUCGCUUGGUUUCAGUCAGGUCCAUGCCUGACGGCUAAUAAAGAAGAACACAUCUCCAGCUUGCCGAUAGAUAAGAGCAAUGCAACCUGCCCACCAUGCUGCAUGUGCGGAUUGCGGCUAUCCUGUCUGCAGGUGUCCAUGCAUCUCUUCUCAACUUGAUAAGGGCUCUAGCAGAUCUAUGAUUCAACCUUGGAAACGAGUUGCCGCCAGCUGCUGCCCGGGUGACUCUGUGUGCCCCUGGCGUCGUCUGGCCUCGUGGUCUCGCAUUCCCGCGCGCGGUGCCGGCGGCGCCGCGGCGGCCGCCUCCAUCUGGUCGCCGCAGGUCUCGGGAGCAAAAAAACGUGGCGCAGAGGGAUGCCGGAAUGUGAUGGAGAUAGACUAACGAAGCUGCUGCGUGCUCAAUGACAAGGCAGCAUCUCCGUUUUGUCUUCCGCUGCUGCAGCAGGGAGUUGUACGUGGUUGACCAGGUAAGCUUGUGGAUUUUUGUAGGGUUCAAUUCAAUUCACUUCUCAUACCUUUCAGAUGCCGAAUUUGCAAUAUGUACUUUUUUCAUUGUUUAUAACUGUAUAAUUUGUCUCAUGUGAAUUGUACUAGUAGUUGAUUGUUUAAAGCAUUAUCUGAAGAUUUUUUUUUUGUUUAGAAAGGCAUUAUCUGAAGAUUCAGACAUUAAAAAAAAAAGAACUUCCAAGAUUCUUUUUUCAGAAGAGGGGGAUCAAAAUUGCGUCUUUGUCCUGUCGAGUAGUGAACUUUGCAGGAGGUUAAAACACACUAGCACUACUAGUUAUUCGCGCUUCUGUUCUAUCAGCAGAAUUUUUGACGAAAAUGAAUCAACAGAAUUUGCAGAGUCGUCUUUCCUGACAGAAAUUCAGAACAGAGGCAGUGACAACUGGUCCUGUAAUGGUUUUCGCGGAAGCUUUGGACUGGUACAUCCUGCCCAAAAGUUUGACAUGUAUCGAAAACUGAAUAAAAGAAGUUGACAUCUAAGGACCUGAGGUAGUAAUGAACAAACUUCUCGUAAUAAAAGAAGGACCUGAGCGAUGCCUGCAAUCAAUAAUUUUAUUUUGAACUGCUUUGUGUAUUUCAAUACGGAGUACUAACUACUAUUAUAGUCUAAACUCCGGAUUAAGGAAACUCAGUUCUGCACAUGAAACAAGUUGUACCUUUCACUUCCAUAAAAAAAAAAGAUAAUCAACCCUCCCUCCUAAAAGCUUACGGCUACACCGGAGGCACGCUUGUUCCUCUGCUGGCGUCCAUCAGACGAACAUGGCGUCAGCAGACAACUUUUGGAGAUGACACGACAUUUGUCCGGAGAUGGCGGUGUUUUGUGGCUUUCGUCUAUGGUCAACACAUGGCGGUGUUCCUCCAAUCCUCCUCCUCCAUGUCGAAGCUCUAGAAAAAGUGCAUUCUUGCUGAUCAGUUACGAGAGCUUCAGUGGUGCUCAUCAUCAUCGUUAAGGAUGGCAGCGUCACGAAACCAAAAGUUCUCGUAGUAAGGGGACUACAAGCAAGAUAUGAGAGAGGAAACCAGUUCUAGGUCUCGGCAUCGAGGAUGAGAGGAUGAACACGAGCGAUGAUGUGCUAUAGUUCUCUCAUGGAUGUCUGGAUGUGUAUUUAUGUGCUGCUGGUUGUCCCUCACCCCCCUUGAAUGGGACCCUACCUUCUCCUUUUAUAGCUCCUAAGGAGAGGUAGUAGAUACAUGUGUAAGUAUGACUUUGAUCUAAGACUAGAAUAAGGUAUGGUGUCGUAUGGUAGCGGUGUGGCCCUCCAUUCUUUGCGUUGUAGUUGAUCUUAGUCGUCGUAUGAGCGUGCCUCUUCUUGUAACCUCCGUGCCGAGCCAUACCGACUUUAUGGACGGGACGUAAGUACCUAUAGCGGUCAUGCCGACCCCUGUUCGCUGUCCGGCGUGGACUCCCGAGGCCUCCUCUUCCGUGGACCAUGCCCUGGAGUCUGACGGACGCGUGGCCACAGGAGUUCGGAUUGACGUCUAAGCGUCAUCUCUAGUCUCAGCCGUAUGCACAGUGACAAGAGCAGGUAGCAUAACGACGGAAGUGUGUAGCAUAGUGCUUGUCAUGCCCUGCUCUGCACAACAUGGGUGUGGUCGUGGGGAUCUAUCUUGCGUCCCAUCUGUUGUACCACGGUUCUAUAGUGGAUGACGUCAUUGGAGAUCUCGAGCGCACCAAUGGAGUGAAGGCAGAAAUCACUUAGCGUCCUCUGAGGUUCGGGUGUCGGGCCUCGGCGGAGCGAAGAUGGUUUGGUCUCGUCCACGGCCUGAGAGCUGGGCCUCGAGCGAGGCGGAAAUGGUAGGCUGAUGUUCGAGUCUCGGGUGAAGUGAGAGUGACUGUCUAGCCUUUUUGAUUUAUUGUAAAAAAAGUAGAAUAGAGUUCUUUGUUCUUUGUUUUAGGUACCCGAGUUAUAACACCCGACAAUAUAUAACUAGAUUAGCUUGAUUAAUUUAUGUCUAAAUUAUAAUUAUUAGAAUAAAUUCAAUUACGAGGAUCGAAAUCCUUAUAUAUUACACAAGACCGAGAGAAUGUGUUCUUUUUCUCAAACAAUUAUUUAAUCAGGUCAUUAUUAGAGAAGUUUGACUUAUGAAAAAUCUAAAGUGGCCUAGAACUUAAUUUCUAGCUGGGGAGUAUAUCAUGAUCUUUUAAUCAAAAUAUAUAAACUUAUCUAAAAUAACAACUUGCAUAAACUAUUUUUAUGAUUAGUAAUACAAUUACAAAUGAAUUGUUUUCGGUAUGAAUCGUUAAAGAAAUUUUAGAAUUUUGUUCUUUUUGUAGCACAUCUUGUGACGAUUGAUAUAUAAAACGAUGUCAGAUGUCGUUGUUGGCGUCUGCGCGGCCACGGGAAAUUAGCGCUGGAAUUACUCCCUUCGAUUCGGUCAGCUCCAUCUCCUAACGGCGGCUAUGGAACGUAAGAUAAGAGCUCUCGGCCGGCCGGUCCGCUUCAUAUACUCUCAUGCAAUGCAAAAAGUUGCAACACGUUCCUCGUGCCUCGCGCGUGCGCCCAUCCUUCCAAAUGAUAACCUGUGAUACAAUAAUUAAUGUUUAGAGUCCUAUAAUUAACGCGUAAUCUUGCGGUCUCGCGUUCCCGUGCGGUGCCACCGGCGGUCGCCGUCGCCCCCAUCUGGUCGCCGCGGAAGCAAGGGCAGGACUCCAGAGAGCAAAACGUGCUGCGCUGCGCUGGUGCGCGAGAGCGACGUUGGACUCCCAGACUGCGAUGCCUGCGGGUGUGUGUGUAGAAUAGAAUAUAAUAGAUCGUCUCUUGUUUUUCCAUGCAACUAUGGCACUAUGCAAGAUAGUCAGAUAUGGAUGCUAUAGACCUGAUGGAUUGGAGUCGUCUUAAGAUAGCGAUGGACCAUCAUCGAAUCUGCGAUGUGCUCGUCUCGUUCGUUUGAUUGAUAAGUCAUGAUAAAAAAUAUUGUUGACUAAUUUGUUAUAAGAGAAAAACAUUUAUAGAUUUAGCUGAUAAACUUAAACGAACAGGCUGUAUCUCUGUUUUAUCUUCCGCCGCCAGGCCAGGGUACGUGGAACGUGAUUGACAAGCAACUUCGUCGGUUUUUCACUCGCAAUUUUUCUUUUGUUUGCAAACCCAAAAAAAAAACACCAAAGAAGGGUAAAAUAAGCUUAAGAUAUUUGUUCAUCGGUCUAAGAUGGAGCAGAUUUCCUGUCAGAAAUGCAGGAUAGAAGCAGCGACAAUUGGCCACGUACAGUAUAGCAUCAAGAGGCCUCUCUAGUAUCAAAGAUGUUGACGCGCGUUGAUAAUGGAUCGAGGUUGGAGGUGCACUUGCAUGCAGUUUCGUCCACGAGCAUCAGUUCGUGCCAGUCUUUUUCGACGAACAUAUGUUCAGGAAUAGGUACACGUGUGAGCUCAGAUUUGGUCUCCUCGAUCGAUCCACUUAAUUAACCAGCGCCAGUGGGUUUGAACUAUCUAGUCUGGCCUCCUAUAAAGCCAACGGUAGCAGCAGACGCUCGUUCAUCUGCUUGCGUCAGUUUGACCCAUGAACAUAGCGUUUGCAGACCAGCGUGUGGCGAUGACACGAUGACACACGACACGUACGACUUCAUAUGUCCCGCUACUCGCUAGAAUAAUAGGGUGUUGACGCUUUCUUGAGAUAAAGAAUGAUUCUCAGUCUCUAGUUAAUUAAGGAAUACUAAGUUUGGAAAUAUAUGGCACUGACGCCUUCUCGUUGAUAGAUAGAAUAAAUAAAAAAAAUAAAAGGCCUUGCCCUUGAUCACGACUUGUGAGGUCGUGCUUUCACUUUAUGGCGGCUUUCGGCUACUGUCUGCAGACGGUGUUGUGUGAUGUUGUUGUAUGUCAAAGACCUGUAAACAAAGUCCAUGCAAAUGGAUCGAUCGUAUCAAUUAGUUACGGGACCUUCAGUGGUGCUCACCACUGGACGACGGGUGGCAGCACGCGCACCAGGAGAUAGAGAAGAAGGGACGUCUCCUUGACUGACUCCGUGGCAUGAGCAUGACGGCACGGAAUAAUGCUGGUAAAAUAAAUAAAGUAGUAAAACGAAACCUUGUGGUCAUCCGGAGCACCGUAGCGGAACGAGACUGUCAGUGUCAUGCAUGUAUAUAUCUGGGAGGAAUCCUGAGAUGCCGUGAAAGACCAAUCCUGUUGUUGUUGUUGCUGCUGCUACGAGCUAGUGCGAUCGAGAGUGACUGCGCACGCAAGCUUUGUACUGGUACGUAGAAGAAAAGGAACGGUGUGGGAGUGAGCCGCGCAAUGCCAUUCAGGUACUCAGGUCUGAGUCUGAAACGCAAUGGAAACGUCAAAUGUGCAUGCAUGUGCUUGCUAUGGCGCGCUGGCGGGACGUCGACAACCAGGCAACUCUGUCAUGCCGGCCGGCCGGGAAGCUGUGCAGUGCAGUGACAACGUACCCGUACUGAUAAUAAAGAUGCUAAAACAUCUUGGGCGCCGUCUUGUUCCGUUUAGCUGAUAAGCCAUAAUAAAAAGUACUGUUGUUGAUUCGUUGUGUUGUGAAAAAAAAACACUGCUGAAUAAUUGACAGAAGUCAUAAUAAAAAACACCGUUAACUAAUUUGUUGUUAAAGUGGUGAUAAACUCAAGCAAACAUACACGAGUCUUCCAGCGACGGUGGGGCCUGGGGCAGCGAUCGAGAUGCUCUAGCUAGUGAGUUCCGUGAUACCCAACGAAGGCACAUCAACCGUGAGCCAUUCUUUUGCAAACGCCGGCCGGAUCGGAGGACGAUCGACGCUACUGGCAACUAGCCGCGACGCUCGUUCGUUCCCAUCCGUUGCGUGCUGCCUCGAACCAUCACGUACACUGAAGGAGGACGAACUCAACUGAGGUGGACAGGGCCGCGACCGCGAUCGGGAUGCCCUCUGCCUGGCAUCGAUAUAUAAUGCCACCACCACAACGAAUCGGCACGAGAAACUGGUAUGCAAGAGGUCGACGAGCCAGGACUGGGACUGGGACGGCGGCGAAGCGGCACGCCGGCACGCACACCAGACGUACGCCACCUGUCGCGGUGGCCCGUGGCCCUCUCCUCUCUCGCGCGCCAUCACGUCCCGCAGCUGGCGCCUGGCAGCACGCAGUGCAGCCUGGCCCGAACCGAGGCCAGCCGCUCCUUUGAGCGUGCGGCGCGAGUCGCGCGCACAGAUCCACCGGUCAUUCGCUCGAUUUUGUUUUCUUCUUGCUGCUGCUUGUCUAUCUAAUCUAGGCCUUGUUUAGUUCCAAAAUUUUUUGGGAAAUGGACACUGUAGCACUUUCGUUUGUAUGUGACAAAUACUGUCCAAUCAUGGACUAACUAGGCUUAAAAGAUUCAUCUCGUCAAUUCCGACCAAACUGUGUAAUUAAUUUUUAUUUUCAUCUAUAUUUAAUACUCCAUGCAUGCGUCUAAAGAUUCGAUGUGACGGGGAAUCUUAAAAAUUUUGUAAAAUUUUUCAGGAACUAAACAAGGCCCUAAGAGAUCGAGUAUGGAUCUACGAUCUGCGAAAGCGGUGGACGCUGCUGCCAUGCCCAUGCUUCAGUACUGCGACAGGCUGUUGUUGUUGGCUUCGCCAAAAAAAAAAAAGGAAAAAAAAGGAAGAGGAAGUGCAUUUCCACUUUUCCAGCAACGAAAUCAAUCACCAAUGUCAAGCAAACUUAUGUCAUCGAACAUUAGCACGUACGUAGUACCUUGAACCCAAACCUAUGGCACCGAACAGUAGCACGAAGUAGUGCUAUAAACCAGGGAGAUUUGACAUUUGAGCUCUACUUGUUGAGAUCAAACACUAAACAAUGCACGCCGACCACUAAAUCACGUACCACGUACUAAAUAAUUGGUAGCACAGCACCCACAAAAUAGCGGCUGCUAUACUUUUAGCGAUUCUCUACCGAUAUCGCUACAAGAUAGCGGACUAGUAAAGGUAGCGUGUUGAAAUUUAGCAGCCGCUCAUGCACUUAGCGUCCGUGUUCGUUUUUCUUAUCGGUUAUUUUUUCUCGCAAUAAAUCAGUCAGUUAAUAAUAAUUUUAGCAACAAGUAAUAGCGUGGAUAAUUCCAACAACAACAAAAAAAGAUAGUGACGUAGAUGAUGAUAAAGAAUGAUGGGAUGAUAAUAUUUUUUUCAAUGAUAUAAGAACUUAAUGAUAUUUUGUCUCCACGUAAUUUCUUUACAUUAUUUUUUAUAUGCUUGCUUGUGAUUCUAUGACAUUAAAUUUAGUAACUAGGGCCCUGUUUAGUUCUCCACCUAAAAUUUUUUCGUCCAUCCCAUCGAAUAUUUAGACACAUGCAUGGAACAUUAAAUUUAUAAAAAAAAUAAACUAAUUACACAGUUUGAUUGAAAAAAGUGAGACGAAUCUUUUAAGCUUAGUUACUCUAUGAUUAGCCUUAAGUGCUACAGUAACUUACAUGUGCUAAUGAUAGAUUACUUAUGCUUAAUAGAUUUGUCUUGUAGUUUCCUGGUGAGCUAUGUAAUUUGUUUUUUUAUUAGUUUGUAAAAACCCCUCCCGACGUCCUUCCGACACAUCCGAUGUGACACCCAAAAAAUUUUCAUCUCCAAUCUAAACAGGGCCUAACUAAAAACUUCAAAUUAUUUCUAAGCAAACAUAAUUUUAGCAGUAGCGGAGGGAUGGAUAAAAAGUAAGAUGUGGCAUAAUAGAGUUGUCUGAUAAAUAAGACUUCAUCAAUUUUGAGCUAUGGCGCGCGUUGGCCAAUCUAGUAUUGAUACAUGGUCUAAAUUUUGACUAUCUUAAAUAUUUUAUUAUUAGACUUUAGCGUCAGCUAUAACAUUCGCUAUCUGUAAUCUACUAUAUAUGCAGAUAAUAUAAUCCACUACUAAACCGCUAUCCGAUGUUUAUUUAGCUCGUCACGUACGCCCGCGAGCUAGAGAUUAGCAGGACUGCACGAGCCGAAUAGAAGGCCGGCGCCGCUUCGAAUGGAUCGAGCCAUCCAAAUGGUGCUUCUGUCAACUGUCAGGUGGGACGGGGGGACGGGGGCGUGGUGACGUCGGAAGCUGCCGUGCGGCCGCAGUGUCGUUUCCCGCAACGCAACGACCAGCGGCAGCGUGGCGAUCCGCCCCCACCGCUCUUCCCUCCGCUCCGCCCUCGCACUAUUUCUAGCACCGCCGGAGCCGGGCUGGACACUUCUCAUCUCCCAUCUCCUCUGCUUCCCAGUCCCCGCCCGCCGUGAGAGCCCGCCACUGCUGCAUCUCAAGGUACCCUGUGUUCUCCCCUCUCCUCUGCGAUCGAUCCUGGUUCCCAUGUCUAUUGUUCUCAUCUCAUCCUGGGCUCUCGCUGCAUGCAGGGUCAGAGGUUGUACCGAUCAUCGCUGUGGCCUUCGCCGCCGGCCGCCGGCGCAUCAACCACCGCGCCGGCACGGGCGCAUGCAGGUGACAUUCCGCUCUCCGGCUCUCUCCGCCGGACGUGGGUGCUCCCCCGGAACAAAACGCCUACCUACUCUCUCGGCAACGUUUCUGGAAGUUCGUUGAGGCAUCAAAGAAUUGCCUGCCCUGCGCCGUGCGCGUGUGCCGUGUGACGGCGCGGCCGGGAUGGGCAAGAUGAACUGCUUCUCCGGCCUGCUCAGCGGCAAGAGGAAGGCAUCCAAGGUUUGGUGGCGGAAUGAGACUCGUCUUUCGCCGCUGAAUUUUGGCGGAGCUACUCAUUAAUUAUUAGUGACUUUGGACUUGUUCAUCAAUGGCAGGGUAAGAACAAGGGCGCUUACGUCAAGAAGGGUAGUGGCAAUGAUUGUCCCAAGGUGAAGCCGGUGGAGUUCAUGGACAUGGCGGACACUGUUGUCGACGACGUCGUCAGCAGAGGCGGAGACAGCAGCGUUCCUGCGUCUGCAUGCAACAGUAGGUUUGUCGUUCACGCAGCCGCCCAGCUGCCACGCCAUGCCAGUGGCGAGAAUGGCGACAAGGCCGCAGCUAAGAAGGAGUCGUCCGCCGCCGACGACGACCUCGUCGCCGGCGUUGGCUCCUCCGGUCACAGCAGCUACGGAACUGGCAACAGCGAUGCCAAGAGCACCGAGCCGGACGACGGCGAGCGCUCCAGCCUUGGCCGCAUGUCGCCAACGGCAUCGCCGAAGCUGAUGCGCUCCUGCUCCAACAUCGAGACGACGAGGUCUGUCGUCCCGGCAGGGUCCGACCUGCCGGCGAAGUCGCGCUCCUACAACGACCUGAAGAUCCUGCCUCCCGGAAGGUCGACCGCCGCCCGCAGCGGCGCGAUCGACGCGAGCCCGACGGCGUCCUUCAGGACCUCGUGCUCCGCCGACCGCGUCAUGCUGAAGAAGCGGUCGUCGAGGCAGGUGCUCCCGUCCAGGAGCCGGAAGCUGUGGUGGCAGAUGUUCCUCUGGAGCCACCGCAACCUGCACCGGCCGGGCGCGAGCGCGACCAUGCCCACGCUGCUGCCGCCAUCGCCGGGGCAAGAAGAAGAAGAAGAAGAAGGCGGUGCCGCGCACCAGCACGACGGGUACACGUCCGACACGCUGGGCGCGGUCACCGCGGACGCCAAGAACAAAGGCGUCGCCAUCGAGGCGGACCCCAUUACGAGCCAGUGGGUCGCGUUCUCCGCCGAGGCCUCGCCGCUGGACCGGGUCAGCGCGUGGGUGAACAGCCUCGGGGACGGCUCGUUCCACGCCGUCGACGAGGACGAUGCCACGGGGCACGGCAGCGGCGGCGAAGGCGCCGCUCGCCCGCGACGGCAGCGGUGCUCCGAGAUCGUGGAGCUGUCGACGGCGACGGCCGGCGGCAAGAGGAACCCGGAGGCGAAGCGGCGCGCGGCGGACGAGGCUGCCCAGGCGAGCGGCAUCGUGCAGACGCUCAACACCUUCUCCUCCGUCGCCCACAUCGCCGGCAUGGGGCUCAAGACCGUCCCGACGAUUGCGGCUUUCUCGACCCUCCGUGCCGUCAAUCUGUCUGGAAACACGAUUGGUAAUUCCUGAUCGCAGACACUAAAAAUUUUUCUACUCGUGUAAUUACAUCUCUAGAUUGUACUAUCAGUAACUAACACGAGUAAAUUUCGUUUUUGUUACUCGACUUGACACAUUCAUAAUUGUCCUUUGGUUUCGCAGUUGAAAUCAGCGCUGGAUCGUUGCCCAAAGGCCUGCAUUCGCUGGAUCUGUCGAGGAACAAGAUUGCAAUCAUCGAGGGGCUGCGGGAGCUGACGAGGCUGCGGGUGCUCAACCUCAGCUACAACCGGAUCUCACGGAUCGGGCAUGGUAAGCAAAGCACGUCCUUGUCCUGGCAAUGCAACAUGACUUUUACUUAGUGCUUCUUACUACCAGUUAGCAUCUGCAUUUCUGCCUGCCUGUACCCUGAAUAUGUGUCAGGUGAAAACACAGUGCCUAGCCUGCUUGGAGUUAUUUGCACCGCACGAAUAUUGUUCAAUGCGCGUAUCAGUAGUAAUGUGUGACACCCUGGAUGUUUUGGCAUUUUUAGAUCUUCGUCAGGUCCUUUGUUCGUGCUAAGCCAUAGCAUAAGCAUAGCAUGGUCCAUACCACACCACAGCUGCAGGGCUAGGGUUCCUGCUGGACAUCAUGGGAAAAGGGUCCUGCGGUUUUAGCUCGUUGUGACUUGUGAGUGAACCAUCAUAUGCGGCGUCUGCCGUCUGGACGUGUGGCCGUGUCCGUGUGAGUGCUGUGCGGUACUGGUAACCAGAACGCCAUUACGCAUGUCGCCAGAUAGGAAUGGGGUGCCACAUGCUUCAGAUAUCUGAUGCGGACAUCUCGGCAUUUCGCGUACUGCUCUUUAUCUUUUCAGCCUGCGAUCCCCGUGACACGCUUCGGCGCGUCCCAUGUUCACUGCCUGUCUGGUACAAUGCCUGUUCAGAGUUCAGGUUCAGACCUUUGGAUUGGAUUCCAGGGGAUCAUAUCUGUCCCUCCCAACUUCGAUCGUUCCCAAAAACACACUGCUUAUGUUAUGUGCAUGCAUGACUGUAUGCCACGUCCGACAGCUGGUCCAGCCGCUGCCCUGCCCCUUUUUAUGACCUCUGGCUCAGCCGCUCGGCUAUGUUUGGCACCCGUUAGGACCUGCCCUCUCGGUCCUUUCACCAGACAAGUCUGAAAUUUGCACACACAUACGUACUAGCUACUAGUAGUAUACCAACAGAGUUUACAGUGGUCUUCAGCCUUAUACUACGUGCAACUGUGGGUUGACAAUGUACAGCAGACGAAUUUAACGUGUGUUUCUAAUUGCUCCCGUUUCAGGCCUGUCGAGCUGCACGGCGAUCAGGGAGCUGUACCUGGCCGGGAACAAGAUCAGCGACGUGGAGGGGCUUCACCGGCUGCUGAAGCUGGCCGUCCUGGACGUGAGCUUCAACAAGAUCACCACGGCCAAGUCCCUGGGCCAGCUCGUGGCCAACUACGGCUCGCUGCGGGCGAUCAACCUGCUGGGCAACCCGGUGCAGGCCAACACCGGCGACGACACGCUCCGCAAGGCCGUGUCGGGCCUGCUCCCGCGGAUCGAGUACCUCAACAAGCAGGCCGUCAAGCCGCAGCGCGCGCGGGAGGUGGCCAAGGACAGCGUCGCGCAGGCGGCGCUCGGGAACGCCGGCUGGAACUCGCGGAGGCGGCUCACGCGGCGCCUCAGCCAGAGCCCCGGGUCGGCGGGGAAGGGCGGCCGGGGCAGGGACGGCAACGGCAACGGCAGCCGCAGGGGCAGCAGGAGCAGGUCCAUGACCAGGCCCCAGAGCUCGAGCUUGCCAAGGAGAUGAGAGGCAAAACGUGCGACGUACGUACUGAUAAAAAAAAAUGGUCUUCGGCUUGAAGAGGGAGAAGAAACAACUCUAUGCGUUUAAACUGCAUGCAAUGCAAUGUUGUGAUGAGCUUGAGUUUGACGCAUUUUCCCGAACCUUUUUUGACAGCACAAUCUGUUGCCAGUUAGCGAUGUCUGUAGCUUCUAGUAGUACUACCGUCCAAGGAGGACGUCUCAAAUGGAAAAACUGUUUAGUGGCUACCAUUUGAUUGCUUGAUCUUGUUUGUUUUCUGUGACUGAUGAUGAUGAAGGGUAAAGAACCUGGGACUUGAGUUAUGAGUUGGAAUUGAACUCGUGAACGCACAGAACACAUGAAUUAAUUAACAAAGAAAAAAACAAAUCGUGAACGCGCAGCGAACAUUGACAAAGGAAAAAGAAAAAAAAUCGUGAACACCCAGCAAACAUUAAUAACAAAGAGAAAACAAACCGUCAGCAAACAUUAGCAAAGAAAAAAAAAUCGUGAACAUACAGCAAACAUUAACAAAAAAUAAACCCAAAAAAAUAAAAAAAAUCCGACCUGCCGGAUUCGAACCAGCGACCUAAGGAUUUUUCUGCAAUCACUACAGUCCUCCGCUCUACCAACUGAGCUAAGGUCGGUUUUGGCUUAAUGCAAAGAAUUAUUUCUAAAGACUUUUAAAAAAUCUUGUGCCAGCAAACCUAAGUCCUGUUUGGUUUAUUAUCGAGCCAAAUGUAUAGAACAAGAAGCAAACGUUCCGUAUAGUAUAAUUUUCGCAGCACGUGGGAUCCGUUUUUAGUUUUUCCAAAUGGGUGUAAACAAAAGAGAUGUUUUGUAGUUGUUCACAGAAGAUAAAGAAAGGUGGUAGAUUUUAUAAUUGUUUAGUUUUUUUUUCACACCGCAUAUAUAAUUCACAAAUAGCUUUUGUAUUUCACAAUAGCCUGAGAUGUUGAGUAAAUUUAUCAACAAUUCAACAGUGUAUUCUCAGAUAUUGUUUUUUAGACAAACGAACAGAUUCAUGGAGGAUUAGAAUGACUUGUGCAUAUAGUACCCGAUCGAGAAACUGGAAAACAAAUCGUGGCCUCAGUGAAACAAAUAGGACCUCAGGGUGCGCAGCUAAUACCCACGACUGGCCAUUUGUAGUUGUAGGUUGCAUCCUUCUUGAGCCUCUUUGCGCGGUUGCCACUCGCCGAGUCGCCCCAAUCUACCAAACAGUAAUAGCUUUGCUUAAAAUGGGAGAAAACAAACAAACAAAAGGUAGCCACUGCACUGCACGGGUGAAGUCGCCAAUACCUUCCCUUCCCGGGACCGGCAAAGGCCACAGGCACCGACGCACGUAAGAGUCACAGUCCUUGUGUGGUCUCGCCAUGGACACCCAAUGGUAGCGUGUUGUCCACUCCCACGGGCCAGCCAGGCAUGGCUACUACAUCAUGGGCUCAUGGCACUCCCCGCUUGCUACUAGUUUUUACCCAAAGCUGCCUGCGAAUGGACUGAUUUUUUUUUUUUUUAAAAUAAGGCCGCGAUCAUGUCCAAAGAAUAAUUAUGGCAGGUUGCGAUCAGCUUCAGUCUCUAUUCCUGCACGACUGCCUGUGCUUUGUACAGUAUUUAUUUGCUUUCGCAAGGUGCUCUUGGUAGUUUUUUUUCCCUUCUUGCAUACACACGUCACACACGCAUGAAAAGGUUUCACCACUAGUAGCAGUGCAGCCUCCAUUGUUGGUAGAACUACGUAGAAUGGUACUAGGGCUUUGUUUAGUUCCAAAAUAUUUUGCAAAAUCGACACUGUAGUUUUUUUGCUUGUAUUUGACAAAUAUUGUCCAAUCAUGGACUAACUAGGCUCAAAAGAUUCGUCUCGUCAAUUUCGACCAAACUGUGUAAUUAGUUUUUAUUUUUGUCUAUAUUUAAUACUUCAUGCAUGUGUCUAAAGAUUGAUGUGACGGAGAAUCUGAAAAAUUUUGCAAAAUUUUUUAGAAAGUAAACAAGCCUAGUUCGGUGAGACCAGAAAAAAAAAAAGGUCAGGGAUACUUUCGUAAGACCGACCGGUGUCGUCUCGCCUGCUUUCAAAAAUCAUAGUACAACCACCAACUAAAAAAAGCGCACGCGCACACGCAUCCCGGGCACUCUACUUCCACUAGCGCAGCCGCUGGCCGCUGCCUCUUCUCUCCUUCGCGACCCCCGAAGGAAAGCCGGAGCAGAGAGCGCCACCACUAGCCAGCUGAGGAGGCAUGGCGGGGGCCGGAGACAAGGUGGACUACGUCUUCAAGGUGGUGCUGAUCGGCGACUCGGCGGUGGGCAAGUCGCAGAUCCUCGCCCGCUUCGCCCGCAACGAGUUCAGCCUCGACUCCAAGGCCACCAUCGGCGUCGAGUUCCAGACCCGCACCCUCGUCAUCGACCACAGGAGCGUCAAGGCCCAGAUCUGGGACACCGCCGGCCAGGAGAGGUACCAGCAGCCACCGUCCGCCUCCCCGCUCUGCUCCCGAUCCUGGCCGCUGCUUUACUCACUGGCCGUCUCUUGCGCAAAUCAUGCUCCUCGAUCCGUUCCUCUUGCGCAUUAGAUCUCUGUAGAUUGUAGCGGUAGCUGAAACGUUGAGCGCAAUGGUGGAUCUCUACUUGUGAAAUGUUUUCCUUUUUGCGCGUUCACACCUACCUUACCAGCACAGGACAAUGUGCUGCUAGGUGAUUAGAUCUGGCAACUCUAUGCUUGCAGUGCUUUUACUGAACUCAUGCGCAAGGUUCAGUUAGUCUUUAAUUGUUGAGGCAGGACGAAUCCUGUUGGCUCCUACUAUAGUCUUUACUGAACUCAUGCGCAUGCUCUGUAGUUUUAGAAAACAAAUUUUGAGGAAGUAAACGUGUGCUAUACAGUAGUUAGUAGUGGUGGUGGUGGUUCUGCAUUGACAGAAGUUGUUUGACAGGGAGGUUGAGCAAAUGGGAAUACUAUUAUUCAAAUUCUGAGUUGUUGUUCACAUUUGCCUUGUACUUUGCUCAUCUACUGUCUGAUACCUGACGUUCUUUAAUGCGCAAUUGACAACACCUUUAAAGUUUCUGGUGAUUCUGUAGUACAACAAAUGAACAGGCCUGCAAGAUGUACAAUGAAAUGUUCUGCAAGAAUUUAAAACCUUUGAAGAAUUUUUUUUGUUGGUGACCUCUGACCUCUAUGAUAGGAUUGGGAGGCCUACCAUGUUGGUUGAAUUUGAGCUCCAUUUGCUUGUGGACUAUGUCACUUCGAGUCAGCAUGUCAUUGUACUCGUUAUUUUGCAGUAAAUAUGCCAUAAUAGGUUGAGCAUGUCAUGCUCGGGAGUCAGGUCCUGUCAUUAGAACGGGAAGAAUUUCGUAGGAGUAGAAUACAAGCAUCAAUUUGUCAUUAUCUUCUUCAGGCAACAAAAUUCUUUGCUCUUGACAAGAAAACUUACAAUGUGCAUGACUCACAUUCGCACUCUCAAAGUACUCUGCAUAUUAGAAUCAUCACUUGCUUUAGACUUGUUCAUCAUAUUAUAGUGUUCGAGCGUUCUGAUUAGCGAGUGCUGACCCAUGGAAAUUAUUUCAUAUAUUGGGUCCUGGUUUGUAUCCGUGGCCUUAUAGCACAUCUUUAGUAGUCAUUUUUAGGUGCUGUGAAUUUUUGUGCCUGCUUUCCAUCACUUCUUUUUUUCCUGAACUUCUCAUGCUGAGUUGCUGGCUACACCCAACUGCAGGUACAGAGCUGUGACAAGUGCUUAUUACAGAGGUGCACUGGGAGCUUUGCUGGUCUAUGACAUCACCAGACGCCAGAGCUUCGAUCAUAUACCCCGCUGGCUAGAUGAACUCCGAGCCCAUGCUGACAAGAACAUUGUGAUAAUGCUGGUUGGCAACAAGAGUGAUCUCGAGGAGCAGCGAGCCGUGAGCACUGAAGAUGCCAAGGAGUUUGCCGAGAAGGAGAAUCUCUUCUUCCUGGAGACCUCUGCGCUCCAGGCAACAAACGUAGAGAGUGCUUUCCAAACUGUCUUGACAGAGAUCUUCAAAAUUCACAGCAAGAAGAACAUGGUGUCGGAGCCAAAGAGCAAUGGAGUUGCCCCAGCAAUGGCAGGGACGAAGGUCCUUGUCCCAGGUCCGGCGCAGGAAAUCCCAAAGAGCAAGUGCUGCAGUUCCAUGUGAUGCUUCUACGUUUGGUGUUGGGUGUGUUCAAAAUAUUCAUGUAAUAUUGUUUUGGUUGUAAACCCCGGCUGAAAUGCUUGGAUUUUGGCGGGAUUGUGUUGGUACACUGGUGUAUUUUAGAUAUUUGUCACAAUUGUGACAUGAGGGAAGGAUGUGCUGAUGUAUUGGUCCUCGUGUUCUCUAAUUGAUAUGUUUUAUCCCUGCUGCAAAUAUCUGUAGCACUGAUUGUUUUUGAGAUACCAGGGUGAAUCUGCCGUGUCCAAGAAAGCAUCGAGUCAACUAGCCUGCUAGUUUGCAAUAAUAUUUGAUCUCUGGAGCUAUCAGCUAGGAGAAGAUAAAUAUGAGAAAAGAUAGAUCUAUCAGCUAAGAGAAAAAAUUCCAUAAAAUGUAAACCUGAGAAAGGCCAAAAAGAAACAGAUGGGAAGGGGAAAAAAAGAUGGUGGUCUGUUAUAGUAGGAGUCUGGGCCUGAAGCGGGACCCAUGAUGCAGCGGCCUGUUAUCCUUCCACCGUUGGAAGCGGACAGUGAUCGCUGCUCUGUGAAACCAGCCUCACGCCGUUCCUGCCACUUUAGGUCCAGGGAGGCCAAGAGCUUCCGCCCAAGUCUCCGCUGGCCACAACCAACUUGGAACGGGCAGGCCAGCCAAGGCACAUCAAGAGCCCAGGCCCAGAUUCCGCACCAAACAUCCACACCACCUUGAUGCCCCCACUUGGGUUACAAGCCCACGCAACUGAGCUCGGCGAGCGUGGGCUACCAAGACUGCUAUUUAAGCUGGUGCUGUGCAGCUUGGAGUGGCGAGGUGGUACUAAACAGAGGCGCAAGCGGCUGGUACAUUGGCUUCCUUCCAGGCUUUUUGUGGCUUCUUGAGCAAAUUUUGUCGAUGCAACCGGUGACUGCAUGGAUGAUUCAGACUCGAGUCACUCAAUGAUGCGCAGUCCUUUCUUACCAACAGUUGUCUCAAAAGAAAAGGGAGAAAGAAGCUAGCACUUUACCAUGCUGGCCGAUGAGCACUUGUAACUUUGAAAGAGCACACGGGACAGCGUAACCUUGAAUGAAUCAAGUGAAAUGUAUCAGGUUUCCGCGAUUCCAAGGGGAAAAGGGAGGAGGAUUACAACGCCCAGCAAAUCCAACGGCCCGCUGCUAGUUUUGCUCUCAAGAGCGGAUCUGCUGUCCUGCACUCCUGCAGAGACCACCGGGCCUCCGCACGUCGGCAACUCGGCAUCGCUGCGCUUGGUGGCCGCAGAACACACGCGGAUCAGCGUCCACCAAGACGCGAACGGUGGCCACGCGUCUGGCUCAAGUAGAUGCAGAUCAGCAGAUGGACAGACACGGGAGCGCACCCCGGCGCGGCGCCAAACGACCGAGCGGACCACUGUUGCGUCCCCCCUGUUCGGCUGUUCCCGCGAGAAACUCACGGGUCUGUCUGGCUAGCUGUCUCGACGCGGCGGUAUUUUUCUGGCGUUUCCGAUGACAAAAGGUGCGCGCAUGGCGGCAUGGGUGAAAAUGGCACUGGUGUCGCACCAUGUCAGUGUCAGUGCGGCGCCGGUGGAUACACACGGCAGGCAUGGCCUGGACGCCAUUAGUACGCACGUAGUGCCGCCAGCUGUUGGGCUUGUCGUUCGUCGCCAUCGCCGGGGCCGCAUCAUGACGAGAUCAUUUCCGUCUGCCGUGCCCGGCCCUGAGAAAAGCGAUGUGCCGCCGUGUGUUUGUUGUGUGUCGUGCUGCGUAUAGGCUUGACGCGGGUACGAUCCACCGUCCAUGCACACAUGAUCGAAGCCGCAACUGUCUACCACGUUCGGGGCGGCGUAGCACCGAGAGCGAUCGAGAGGCGCGUAGCCCUUGUGUUCCAGCUUGACUAGCCCGCAACAUCAUCCUUGAAUCUUGAUAGUCUGUAGCCGGUGCGCGACGCGUGCAAGGUGCACUAGGAAGAAAAUUAUAUGGACAUCACAACCAAACAUAAACCCAGAAUACAAUCACAACCUUGAUGCGCAACACGCCAUCACAACCACAAAUUUGCCGUGGCUGAAACCCCCCGCGCGCCAUCACCCUUGAUGCACUACAUGUGGCACUCGAAUAUCUAACAGGCGUAGGAUUACACGCGUUGGGGACUACUAUGGUGGAUGUAUGAUUUGGUUGUAUGGAUAGGUAUCACCAAUCUACAAUGGGAUCGUACAGAAGGAGCAGAGAACCUAGGUCCAAUAAAUAGAGUCUGUUUAAUAAGUGAUAAGUCAUGGCUGAAAGGACUGUUCGCUAAUUUGUUGUAAAAAAAACUCAGUAGAUAAAGUCAAAUGAACAGACUUUUAAUUAUUUUUCUACCAUUUGCAUUUGUUGUAGUGUGACAGAAUUAUUUUUCAAAAAAAUGAUGUAAAAAACUAAAUUGCCCCUUAUCUCCUUUUCCUUUAACUUCCAUUUUGUUGUAGUUAAUUGAAAGGAGUGAAUGAGAGUUUGGAAAUAGAAGUUCAUAAAUCUUUUUGUUUUGUGGGAUGAGAAUUUUGGUGAGAAGCAAAAUUAAAUUUUAGAGUGUCCACUUUCGCUAAACAUUUCGUGGUAAUGGUGUGAAUUAUGCUCUUAAUGAAAAAAUACAUCUUCAUUGUUUAUCAUGAAUGGUCAUUAUAAUUUUACACUCAAAACCUCACCCCGAAAUGGAGACAUAUGGAUUCGCUUAGAAUUCUUUUUCAUAGGGUGUCUCCAAUAGCUAGCUUUUUGGUUAGUUAUUAUAAUGUGGAUAGUGAAAAAAUAGAAAAGAUAGUAGUCAAUAAACAAAUAACUGAUCUAUUUCACAUAGUUCAAAAAUCUAUGAGAACAACAUGUAAAUUCAAUAAUACAUAGAAAAAUAAAAAUACAUAAAAUAGUCUUACUUUUAUCAUUCACCUCCACGUAGUUAGCACCGUUACCCAUGCCCUUAUUUUCCUUCGCAAACUAAACAAUAAAUUUGGAACUAAAAGUUAAAAUUCCCCCGGUCAACUCCCACUGCCAAUUUACAUGUCGUUUUCUAUAUACUUUCUCUAUCCAUAAAAAAAAUGUAACAUUCAGAUUUGUGUAAGUCUGGUUAAUUGAGGAGGUCUGGUUACUGCGGGGUGCCGGAGGGCCGCCGGAGAGGAGACGCCGGGUAGCUUCUCUCUCCAUGGUUAAUCGAGUCCACGUCGGACGUAUGUGCCAGGGGAUGUAUACAGAUGGCACGAUCCCCACCGUUGGACGUUGCCCUUAUCCUCUUUAUCCAUGCAGGCCCGGCGAACGCACCUCCGCCGCUCGCAGCCGCCGGCGUCCGCCACGCGCUCGACGAAGUGCCGCGCGCCUAAACUCUCCGAGGCUCUCACUCCUAGCGCCCGCCGCGGCUGAUGCCGCUCGCCGGCAUUGCCCUCGCGCCUCUCCUCGUCUCACCCCUCGCGUCUUCGCCUCACCGUAGCAGCGUUGCCACUGCCGCCGCGAGGAGACCAAGAGCUCUCAAGCGAGCUCGGUGCUCGGUUACAGCCGCUUCCGGUGAAGCCGGUGAGCUGUCGCGCGCGACGCUGCUAUGGAGGGCGGCAAAGCUACCCAUCUACUCCGUGGCGCUAGUGCCACUCACCGUGAGUUGUUGCAAGCCCAAGCCUCCUUAAUGCGACGUACUGGCAACAAGAGCGCAAAUUUUGACCCUUCUCCCUUUGCAAUUCAGAACUGGAUGCCUAGAAGUCGUUCAGAAUUAGGAUUGUUGUGGCAACAUACAUUGUUUUGCAAUUUUGGAUGCCUUUCCCUUUUUACACUUGUCCUAUUUGUGUAUGGUUGCAGGUAGGGAGCGCUUCUGCUUAUCAUCAUGCGGGUUUAUUCUUUACCAAGCGCUAUUUUGUUCUCCUGACAGCAGCAGUCCUCGUGAUCACUUGGCUCAAUCUCAGGUAAAAAUGAUUUUUAAAAUGGAAAAUUGUUGUCAACGUUUACGUCAUGCUUUAAUGAGCAGGGGCUUAUCGUGUGGAUUAGUUGAAAAGCUUAGAACAAAGAUUUAAGUAAAAUCCUUGUUUGACUUCACUGCAGCAAUGAUGUUUAUGACUCGGAUACAGGGGCUGAUAAGAACAAGAAAGAAUCUGUUGUCAGCAUUACUGGCAGGUACUGUACUCUUGUUUCAUAGAACUAAUAGCAUCGUAAAUGGCUUGCAUGGUUGGUUUUUAGAAGUGACACAUGAUGUUAUGUUCUAACUGACUAUGCAGUCGAGCAAUGACACAAAAUGCCGCAAACAUUUCCCUAUUCCUCGGCUUUGCAGGGCUAUUUUGGGCCUUUGCAGAAGCCAGGGAUAUCAGAUUCAUUUUAUUGGUGAUGUCUGCAAUCUUCUGUGGUUAUGUUUACCAGGUAUUAUUAUCUUCACUCCCUGUUUCAAGGAACCAGUGUAGUAUAUCUUAACGGUCUGUAUCAUUGGUUAGACCAUUUGUAUUUGGCUCUUUGUAUUGACUUUGAAUUCUUGUACACAUAAUACUAUUUAAGCCAUAAGCCAUUAUUCAAGUAGGUAGAGUAAUAUUUCUCGUUCUUUACUUUCAUUCUUUUGACUUUGUGCAUUUCCUCAGUGUCCUCCAUUCCGAUUAAGUUAUCAAGGACUAGGUGAGCCAUUGUGUUUUGCUGCAUUUGGUCCAUUGGCCACCACAGGUUUUUACUUCUCAAACAGCAACACAAAUAUUUCAAGGUAUCUUCUGGAACAAUGAGGUUCCCUAAUUGCUGUACAACUUAGUUGAAGACCAUUAUUUCACUUGCAACUCAACCUAAAUGGUUUUUUAAAUAUUCUGAUAUGUCAGCGGAAUGGCACUUCUCCCUCUCACCAAAACAGUUAUAGCUUCGUCUGUUCUUGUUGGGCUGACAACUACUUUGAUACUCUUCUGCAGCCAUUUCCAUCAGGUAUAGCUCUGGCUGACAAUACAGUAUCCAAUGUACAAUUUUUUCCCCCCAAGUAGUCCAGUGUAGUAUUACUUUGUUUUGUACUGAGAAAAAUUCUUAUAAGCAGAUACACCCUUUUAUUAUGUAGAUUGAUGGAGACCUUGCUGUUGGAAAGAUGUCUCCACUGGUAUUUCUUCUACCAUAAAACUAAGUUCAAAUUUCCUUUACUAAUUUUGACUUCGCACCCAUAACUUUUUUUUAUUACAAUACGGGUUUUGUGUACCUGAAUCUGCCAACAGGUAAGAAUUGGCACUAAAGCAGGAUCGCGGAUAGUGUCAAUUGGGAUUCUCACGCUUUACAUUCUCUUGGCUGCAUUUGGCUUAUGUAGAUCUCUCCCACCAGCUUGCAUUGUGAGCUACUUUCAACCGAUCAUACCGCCCCAUAAAAAAAUUAGUGAUCUUGAAUUGCAGUUGUUGGCUCAACCAUUGCUACAAUAAUUUUCAGGUCCUCUGUGCCCUUACUCUGCCCAUGGGCAAAUUGGUUGUGGACUAUGUGCUGAAAAAUCACGAGGUAAAUCACUCUUCUCCCCUGCGUUUCUCUGAAAAAAUGAAGAUGCCAUUUUGCACUGAUACAGUUUGACAUCACACGCCUUCAGGACAACACAAAGAUAUUCAUGGCGAAGUACUACUGCGUGCGCUUGCACGCGCUGUUUGGGAUGGCACUAGCUUCGGGUUUGUUCUUGGCCCGUAAUGGUAUAUUAUCCUGACAGUGACAGAUAGAUAGGCAGCAUUGAAAUCCAGGAGAGGAUCCAGAGCAGUAGAGCAACAUGCAGUUUCAGAUUCAGCGAACGCACAGCCUUCAAUUGCGUUCUGAACUAACUUCAGAUUCGACAACCGAACAGACUGAGCAAUGAGAUCGGAUGCAGCACUGAACAGGAGCAGUUUUGCCAAGAAACGGAAGAGGAAUGGCCUAGGAGAAGUAUGACUACUACAACGUCAGAACUCAGAUGCACACCGGCCCGUAUUGGACGGCAAGUUGCGAGUUGAAUGAAGAGGACCAUUUGCUUCAGGAUCCGGUUUUUGCCCAAGGAGCACGCCUUGUAUGUACGCUUUGACCCGCUCGGGCUUGCUCGUGCACGGUCAGAUUGCCGUUGCGCCGGGGGACGAGUCAUCAUCAUGGAUAUGAAUUGAUUACCAAGCGAGGACGAGUCAUGUACAAGCAUUACUUCUCUCUGCACAAACGUACCGACUGACCAUAGAGAUUUUGGGAGAUUUCAUUCACAUUCACACCGUUUUAUUUCACAUUUUGCCUUUGUACUUUUGGUUAGUGGUUUGCCAGUGGCCGUUAAUUUCUUGUAAUUGCAACGUCCUGUUUCCAUCUGUGCAAGCUAGAGUAUUAAACGGAUGCUACUGUGUACUGACAACGCUAUAACUACUGCUGCUGCAAAGUGUUCCCCAUACUGGUCAAUCCUUACACUGACACACAGUCAAGGCCAUGCUCACACAACGUGAUGCGCAGAAACCGCACGACCCAGCACAAAUCCAACCUGAUGGUGUUGGCAUAAACAACCAAAGCAGCUGGAAAAGUAUAUUGAAAGUGAAAUGCUACUAGUAUACAAUGCAUUCAGACGAUAAAAAACACACCAGAUAAUCAAAUAAUUUGACCGUACAAACGCAGUUUACAGGAAGGAAACAAACCACUGGCAUCUUCUCAGCACAUCACUUUCCAAAUUGGACUUCGUAGUAACUGUUACCUAUGAUAUCGAUAAAUCGAUCUUUGACAGAAAUGGACAUCUGUGCUUCUCAGCUCCCGCUUUUCAAUCAACUUGGUUCACAGUAAAAUUCUCCUUAGUGGAGCACCUCGCAUCAACACCACCCAAUUGAGUGUUGACCAGAAACUCAGCAAUUGUGGAAAGGCAUAUCCCAGAGAGUGAUUUAAAGCUUGUAACUAAAAUAUGCUCGUCCCACAUUCAUCAAUCGGCCAAAGAACCACCUUUGUUCCAACGUCGACAGCUUCAGGAAUCAGGGAGGUUAAAACUAAAACAGUGGAAAACAGAGAAUUUUUUGCUCUUGCCAGUCAUCCAGUAGAGAAAAACGAGUUACCACCAGCUUAUCAAGCAGCUAGUAGUUCCGGAUCCAACCAUUCAUAUUUGGUUAACACGUGUUGUUUGGUUGGUUCUACAGUAACGCUCGUAUCUCCAAUCGGUAACGUCUGCAGCUUUAAAUCAUUUACAUUUGUGUUACCACGAUAACACAAAUGUAAAGAAAUUUAGUUUAAUCGUAUCUCUCAUUGGUAAUGUCCGUAGCUUUAAAUCAUUUACGUUAUCUACUACAGAUGUUGAGCCAUAGAGGCUUCAGUACAAGGUGGACGAACUGGUUAACAGCAAUGCUCAGAUUCUCAUCAUCAAGAGUUAUGCUAAAUGGGAGCGCAGGUCCAAAGCUGAUGCAUGCGCGGGGGUUAAGACAGGGCGACCCACUGUCACCUUACUUAUUCAUCUUGGCGAUGGAUGCUCUGAGCAGGAUCUUUGAUAUUGCCACUGAGGAAGGACACUUAUCACCACUAAAAGGACGACAAGCCAGGCUUCGUCUCUCGCUAUACGCGGAUGAUGUCAUGAUUUUCACCAACCCAGUUAAGGAAGAUAUUGCCUGCAUCAUGAGGACAAUGAAGGCGUUCGGAGAAGCUACUGGCCUGAACAUAAACAUGGCAAAAAGCUCAGUGGCUACUAUCAGGUGUGCUGACUUAAACAUGGAUGAAAUACUCUGUGACUUCACAGGAAGUAGAGUAUCCUUCCCCAUCCAAUACCUAGGUCUGCCUCUCACUAUUGGGCGAACGAGGCUGGUACACUUGCAAUACAUACAAGAUAGAGCAAGGAGCAAGCUAGCUGGAUGGCAAGGGAAGCUUGUCAAUAUUGCGGGCCGGCGGGAGCUGGUGAAAUCAGUGCUCAGCUCGCUGCCAGUGUAUCUACUAACUGUUAUCAAGGCGCCAAAACAAUUCUUGAAGGAAAUUGAUAAAAUGAGAAAGAAAUUCCUAUGGGCUGGUGAUGGGGAGCUCACCGGUGGAAAAUGUAAGGUGGCAUGGCCAAGAGUCUGUACACCUAAGCCUAAUGGCGGUCUCGGCAUCAAAGACCUGGAUUAUUUUAGCCGGUCACUUAGGCUCAGAUGGUUAUGGUUUAGUUGGGAAGAAAGACCAAGACCGUGGGAAGGCCUAGAAAUUCCAGUAACUGAGGAGGAUAAAGCAGUUUUCAACGCUGCCACAGUUAUCCAGCUUGGAAAUGGCAAGAGAGCUUCCUUCUGGAAAUCAAGAUGGCUCAGUGGUCAAGCUCUGGCUACACGCUUUCCGCAGCUGUACAAGCAUAGCAAAAGGAAAAAUAGGUCCGUGGCGCAAGCGCUGACUGACAAUAGAUGGAUCAGUGAUAUUGACCACAGCUUAACACAACAGAUCAUUGUCCAAUACAUUGAACUUUGGGAGUUGCUGGAAGACAUAACGCUCAUAGAUUCUCAAGAAGACACCAUCACCUGGGUGCUCACAUCUGAUGGCGUCUACUCAGCUAGUUCUGCUUAUGCUGCACACUACAUUGCAAGAACCAAGUGCGAGCAUGCAAUGCAGCUAUGGAAGAUCAAGGCGCCUCCUAAAUGCAAAUUCUUCCUUUGGCUACUGCUACAAAAUAGAGUCUGGACAGCAGCCCGUCUACAGGUCAGGGGAUGGCCAAACGAAUAUUUCUGUCAAUUAUGCCUAAGAAACCUGGAAACGGCACAUCAUCUCUUCUGCGAAUGCCCAACGGCCAAGGAAAUCUGGAAGCAUGUGGGGAUUUGGGCUCAGGUCCCCUCCCUGAGGCCUGAAAACUGGACUCACGAGGAAAACUUGCAAGACUGGUUUGUUGCGCUGAUUGCUGACACUUCAAAGUCUGCUCGUCCUGGAGUGGGUUCGGUAAUCGUCAUCGCCAUCUGGGAGCUAUGGUUGGAAAGGAACAACAGGGUUUUCAAGAAAAAUUCCAACACGGUCCAGCAGAUUGUACACUCCAUCCAUGAUGCAGUGCGGAACUGCAUAACUGCAGGGAACAAAGGCCUAGUGCAGCUCAUUCAACAUCGGUCGACAACGACGGCUCCCGCUUAGAAAACUUGUUUUUACUUGUUGUCUUAUUUUACUAAUGUAAAUCAUUAUUAGAGAUUCAGGGGUGGCUUGGGACCAUUUUUUGGUUCCUGAACAAUUUGUAUUAGCGGCGCGCCUUGUGCCGCUAACUCAUACUGUAACUUGCCCUUUUCUAGAUCAAUGAAAGCCGGUAACGGAUCUUUCGAAAAAAAAAAAAGAUUACCUCAAUCGCAAAAGAUUGCGACACCUGAUCCUUACCCAUGUCGUGUGGCGGCCAUGUUUGGUUUGCACCUGGAAAGGCUACCUGGCCUAGACAACAAUCUUAGGCAUUCAAAUUUAGCACUUGCCUAAUGGUUGUAUGUUGUUGCCUAGGCCAGACAGGUCUUGAGGACACCAACCAAACAAGCAUCAAGGACCUGCUUGCCUUGCGCGGGCGUCGCUCUCAUCAGGCGUGUGAUUUUGGUCGCCUAGCCUUACGAUGCAUGCUUGGCCCUAAUUGGCCCCAAAGAAGUUCUGGAGCGUUCAAUGCCCAGCACAAAAACUGCUACAGUACUCAUGAAUCAUGUAAAUAAAAAUAUGUUCAAAAAAAAUCUAAACUUUUUGUGGUUGGAGAACUUAAAUAUAAACCAUUUUAACUUUUACACUAAAAAAUUAACUGAAAAAAAGGAAAAAAGAAGUAAGAAGCAAUAAGAUGAGAAUCUGUGCAAAACCAGCCUCCAGCCGUUUCAUGAAUGUUGUUGGCUUAGGCUAGACAGAUUUGGAAAGGCCGUUUGGAAGUGAUUCCAGGACACCAUCCAGACGAGCAUUGAGGGUUUGCUUGCUUUAACCUCAUGCAAAACUCCCUGGCGCCGGCGUAGCUCUCAGACAUCUGAUUUUGGACACCCAGGACAGGAUGCUUCUGGGGGUUUGCCUCGAGGGCACAAAGCAAACAUGCCCUAAUUGCCCCCCAAGAACUUCUGGAGUCUUCAAUGCCCAGCGCAAAAACUUCUACAAUACUACUCAUGAAUCAUGAUGAACAAGCCCAUGAUUGACAAAGAGAGGGCAGGGCCAAACGGCGAUGUGUCACCAAACAUGCUUUGUAAUUCAUUCAUGUGACCAUAAUUAGAUGAGCCACCGUGCGUCCGUGCGCCACAAAACAAACGAGGUCCAUGUCACACCAGAAACCAAAGCUUAGUUGCAAUUGUCUACCGAACAAAAUCUAUUACGAACAAGGAUCCAAAUAUCCAGCACAGAACAAAGACCAAGUCUUUAUAUCGAAUCGCAUGCACAGGAAACCAGAUUAGGCUAGUCCCAAUCCUUUUGACCUCACAAGUCACAAGCAAGAACAUUGCAGUUGAAAUGAGUUUACUUUUAACUGCAAGUUUAGCCAAUCAAGAGUAGAUGGGUCCCAUCAAAGAUAAAAACUACUUACUAUAUAUCAUCAUCCUAAAGAAGUUUUGGAUAUGAGAUUCCGCCAUACAUAUUGCUUGCAUAAGCUUUGUUACAAAAAGAUUAGCCAAACAUGAGCAAUCCAUAUUGGUUGCCAACCAAGCGCCGCAUGUCCCAUAUACACCAACAAAAUAUCAAGGCAGGUGGAGCACGCUAGGAGGGAGAAAAAAGAAAGAAUUUUUGAGCUAAAGGCUUUUGAGAAUUGAGAGAGAGAGAGAUGAGAGCUAACAGAAUGUGAAGGUAUUGCUUGCUGCUUCCUCCUUUGGUCGCCGCCCGCCGCCUCGCCAGAUCUCUCCUACACCAGCCGUAUGUACACAUCGGCGGCGGCGCAACGGUCUGCGUCACGGGUCGCGGACGCGGGGACUGGUGGCCGGCAUGGGCACGCCAGGCGACGGCGGCGUCCGCGGCGAGGGCAAGCAGCCGAAGCCGAGCGGCGACGUGGGCACGUGGAUCGGCGAGGGCAUCCCGCGGAGGCGGCGCAUGUAGGCGGAGAUGGGCGACUCCGCGGUCAUGCAGACGGCCGGGAGCGGCGGGAGCGGGGAGAGCGCCGGCGGCGCCGGCGGAAGGAUGGGCGGCGGGCGCGGCGGGGCCAGCGGCGGCGGGCGGAUGCGGUGGAGGCGGGAGGGUAUCGCCGUCGGCGGCGGCGGCGCCAUGAUGUGAGGCGGAGGAGGAGGCGGCGGCGGCUGAGGCGGUGCCAUGAGGGGAGGCGGGGGUGGUGGCGCCAUGAGAGGGGCGCGGGCGGGGGCCGGGGCGGCCGCCGGCUGCGGCGGCAGGAGGUGGGACGGCGAGCCUGUGAGCUUCUGCACGACGUCGCGGAAGUUGGACUUGUCGAUGUUGUACACCGGCGGCUGGGGUGGCGGGUGGUCGGCAGGGACGGAGGAGGCCUGCGGCGGCGGGAGCGGUGCGGGUGGCCGAGGAGCCGCCGGCGGCGGGGAAGGCGCUCUCAUGGUGGGAGCGGGAGCGGGAGCGGAGGAGACGGAGGUGGAGGACGACGGUUUGGAGAUCUUGUAGGAGGCCUUGUUGAGGGACUUGAGCGAGGAGGAGGGAGGAGGCGGCGGCGGCGGUUGUGACUUGUCCAUGACCAUGGCGGAAGAGGGGGGAGAGUGGUGGGAGAUUGGGAUUUGGGGAGAGUGUGAGAGGGGAGUAGGGAGGGAAGGAUGCUGCUGAGCUUUGGAUAGGCGGGCGACAGGCUCUCCUCUUCUGGGGCAAACCGAAGCGAAAACAGGCGCAGUGGGCGGCAGUGCGGUGGUAGCAGUGUCCGGGCUAGCCGACUGGUUCUGGUGGUGUGCCUGCCUCUGCAUGCUCGGCGCUUCAGCCGCUCACUCCAGGCAGCUCUCCUUCCUUCCGAUGCACUGCGCAUUUCGGCGGACUGCAGUUUCGCGAGCUUUCUACGUGUUUUUCGCGACCUAAAAAACAAUUAUUUAGGUUUAGUUGGUAAAAAUGUUUAGAUUUGACUGUUAGUAUUUUUAUUUGUAUUUAUCAGUUAUUGUCAAAUCAUAGACUAACUAGCUUAAAAAUUUUGUCUUACAAAUUAUAAGCAAACUAUAUAUUUAUUUUUUAUCUAUAUUUAAUGCUUCAUGUAUAUGCUGAAAUUUUUGAUGUGACAGAGAAUUUUGAAAAAAAAAAAAGAACUAAACAAGACCUUGGAUUUCCUCACUUCUUUCGUGCCAUAGAUAUGUUCGCUUGGCUGGUAAUUCAUAGCUGAAAGUACUAUUCGCUGAUUUGUUAUGAGAGAAAAAUACCAUUAAAUAGCUGACAGAUUCACUUGAUAAGCUCAAACACACAGACUAAUCCUUUUUGCCAGGAUUUCGUAUCAUUAUUAGGCCUUGUUUAGUUCCAAAUUUUUUUACAAAAUGGACACUAUAACACUUUAUUUUUAUUUGACAAAUAUUGUCUAAUUAUAGAUUAACUAGGCUUAAAAGUUUUGUCUCGUAAAUUAAAAACAAACUAUACAAUCAGUUAUUUUUUUAUAUUUCAUCCAUGUUUAGUGCUCCAUAUAUGUGCCGCAAUAUUCAAUGUGAUAGAGAAUUUGUAAAAUUUUGCAAAUUUUUUUAAACUAACAAGGCCUUAGUCCAUACUCCAGAGGCCACAUAGGAGGAGGAUUCAUGUGAGUUGUGAGGAGCAGCAAAUUUUGUGGCGUUCAUGCUUUAAAAAGGAAUUGUGGCGUUCAAAAGUGCUGAGGCCAUUUUUUUCGGCCGAGGCCUUGUUUACUUACAAAAUAUUUUGCAAAAUGUAAAUAGUAAUAGUUUCGUUUGUAUUUGACAAAUAUUGUCCAAUCAUAAACUAACCAGACUCAAAAGAUUCGUCUCGUCAAUUCCGACCAAACUGUGUAAUUAGUUUUUAUUUUUAUCUAUAUUUAAUACUUCAUGUAUACGUCUAAAGAUUCGAUGUGACGGGAAAUCUGAAAAAUUUUACAAAAAUUUUUUGGAAACUAAACAAGGCCCGAAGCGGAAGCAGCCAGAUUGGCCAUGGCCCCCUGGAAGCAAUCACUGCCGCAACAAGAAACCGUACGGCACCAGCACCACACACACACACACAAUCCACAGGGCGCUAGGGGAUGGACCACACACACACGCACCAUCAAAGUAAGAUACUGCCGCUAGAAAGCAGUCGAAGGAGAAGGAGGAGGAGCAGCAAGCCCCAAGUAAUCUACUCCUACUCUACUUGAUCUACUCCUCCUCGGAUUAGACAAAUAGACAAACCCAAGCAGCCAAAGUGGGCAUGGCAUGGCACGGAGGCAGGCAAGCGGGAUGAAAAGAUGUGGUCGAUCAGCAAGGGGACGCGAGGCGUAAAGACAAGUCCCGAGAGAUUACGAGGGCCAUUUAGCGGGGAGCCAUGUGGAGCCGUAAUCGCGCUCUUUUGUUUAAUGCUCCAAUCGCUUUCCAGCUUUUAAAUUACGAUUACGAUACGACAGCACGCACGGGAAGCUGCUUUGACCGAAAGGGUGGCUUUGACCGAGCGGGGGCAGAAUCGUCUCUUCAGAUGGGGCCACCUAGGCUGGAGUUCGUGCUGGUCUACUGGAGCAGUAGCACGCAAAGGAUAUCUCUCAACUCCCAUCUCGCUGUUUGAAAGAAGAAAAAAUAUGAAAAAGACUUGGGAGGAUGGGAUACGGUGUGGUUUCAUCUUAUCGUCGCUAGUCGCUACGCUACUAUUUGCCGGUGCAAAUUAUGCAGAUAUUUUCUGAUAGUAUUUGAGACCAAAUUUCUUUAGAGAAGUUUAAAUUAUUUGUAUCUAAGUUCGGAUAUUUAAUAUAUAAUAUUAUAUUUGUAUUCAAAUACUUAAAUCUUAUAUUUAUGAUGUCGAUAUUUUCAGUUGUAUCAUAUUUGUCAUACUAUUCGUAUUCUAAUUUGAUCUGAUUAAAAAUAUAAAAACAAAUAUAUAUUGAUGAUAUCUAUCUGUAUCUGAUCCAUUUACGUUUCUAUUGUUGGAUUUCAAAAAUGUAGCUUAUUAGUCAUAAGCGGCAUCAGUUUCUGAGUUUGCUUUUCUGACUUUAUAUUGUUGUGGUAUACUAGCAUAUGCAUAUCCUUAACUCCUUAAGGAUGUGUUUUGAGCUAAACAGUGUGUCUUCAGUGCAUGAACAAGAUCCCAAUCAGUUACAAUUGGUUGUGUCUUGAAAAUUGAGGGAUCCUAGUUUGUUUUUAAGUUCAUUUUCUAAAAGAAAUGAAGAAAUUCAUAGAGGAUGGUGCUAACAUAUACCGUGUUAAAGAGGUAAAUUAUGAUCCACUCUCUAUCCCUAAAAUAGUAUAAUUCUUGCUAUAAAUCUAGAUAAAUGUUUGUUCAACGCACCUAGAAUUACGUUCUUUCGAGGACACAGUGUAUAUCUCAUAAUCUUAUCUUACUGUUAUUAAUUGACUAUUGAAGCCCCCAAUUUCAUAGAGAGAGAGAGAGAAAGAAAUCCUAGAUUAUUGCAAAGAAAGAAACACUCGACCAUCAAAAUAAGUGUAGAACUAUUGCAAAGAAAAGAAACACUCAGCCAUCAAUUCGGUGGGCUAAAUAUUAUUGACAACAUGAACCAUUGAAUCAUUUUCUUAAAAAAGAACACCCGCACUUUCCAUAACGAAAGAAACCUAAAGUAACAAUUCUAAAGUUAUAUCUAAAUUACCUAACUCAUUCAUUUAAAACGAUAAUAUAAAGUAAUUGUCUACCAUUACCCAUCCAAUAACUAUAUUAUAUAAACUUAACAAAGUUAACAUUCAAAAUUUUCACCCCUACUAUUAUUAAGGGCACUCACAAUGCAGACUCUAUCAUAGAGUCUAAAAUUAUUUAUUACCUCGAACAAUGUGGACUUGAAUUCUUAUUUUUUCUACCUCUUUCUUCAAUAAAUAUGUUGUCACAUCAGCAAAAUACUAUAAAUAAUAUGUAAUUAAUUGUCUUAGACUCUAUAAUAGAGUCUUACAUUGUGAGUGCCCUAACAUCCCCUCAAUUUUACUUCUAACUACCCACGUCUGCUGCUCUUAAAUAAUAAAAAAAAAUAAAAAGUGAUAUGGUGGCUGUUAGUGGGCGUGACGACCCGGGAUCCAGUCCCUUUGGGCUGGAAAGAUUGCACUGUGUGUGCAAUUGCAGUACGUACACAAAAAAAAAGGAGGCAUCUCAUACAGAAAGAUGGCAGACAAGAAUAUGCAGAACGCUUCAUAAACAUUUUCUAUCAGCGAGAAAAAAAUAUCAUUGAGAGACGCAAAUGGGUACUAGUAUGUGCUGUGAAGGCGCUGCAAAUUAGCAUUGACAGGCGCAAAUGGGUCCUAGAAAUGUCCAGGAAACUGGUAGAAAAAACAAGGAAUAAAGAAGAAAAAAUCCUUUAAACCCUUCAACUUUCAAGAUCGUCCGAUUUCUCCUGUCAAGAGAAAAUCCCUGUUUUAGACUCACCCAAUAGUUUUAGCCUACGUGAUUGUCGGUAGUCUUGUGUAGUGCCAUAUCAUCCGUGACAGAGGUAUUGAGGUAAUCGACUAGUUUAGGAAUGUUAAAUAGACUUUAUAAAUAUAAAAUAUAUCUUUUUACAAAUUUUUCUUAAAAAACAUAUACAAUUAAAAAUCAAUCAUAUUUAAAUUUUAAAAAUGUUUUAGAUCAGAAAAAUAUGAAACCAAUUUUUAAAUCAAUGGUAUUUAAGAUAAAACUAAUCAUACACGUUUAAAGAUAAAGUUGAAUCAAUUUUUUUUACCUUUUAAAAUUUUGAAUAUAAGUUUUCAAAUCUUGGGCCUGCCUCUGUCUCAAAUGGUGUGUCCGGUUUAUCCUAGGUCAAGAAUCCUUUUUACCUUAUAUAGCUUAACAACUUAUAUUUAUACCUCGGGACAUUAUAACAAAGUUCACACUGUGAGUGCGUAUGGUCAAGCUCUGAAUUUUUGUAGAAAUACAUCGUGUGAUGAAUCACAAAUUUUGGGGUGUUACAUACAAGGAUCCUUUAGGUGUGAUAAGCUAUAAUAAAGGCCCUAUAGUUGUAACAAGUUGUGACAAUGACCUUCUAGCUGUGAGAGGAUACCUUAGUUUGGAGAUAUUAAAUUUUAGGAUAUUACAGACAAAGGUCCUUUAAGUGUGACAAACUGUGACAAAUGUCUUAUAACUGUGACAAGCUAUAAUAAGGACCCUGUUACUGUGACAAGGGCUCUAUAGUUGUGACAGGUUACCUUGGUUUGGAUACAUGAAAUAUGACCAAGACUAUAUUUUUACUUUGGUUUAGAGACAUGAAAUAUUGGGGUGUUACAGACAUGGACCGUUUAGAUGUGACAAGCUGUGACAAAGGCCCUCUAGUUGUGACAAGCUAUAAUAAGGGCCCUGUAGCUGUGACAAGCUACGACAAGAACCCUAUAACUGUGACAAGCUGUGACAAGAGCCCUAUAGCUGUGACAAGUGUCCUAUACCUGUGACAAAGACCCUAUAACUAUGACAAACUGUGAAAAGGGCCAUGUAGAUGUGACAUGCUGUGACAAUGGCCCUUUCACCGUGACAAGCUGUGAAAAAGGUCAUAGACCUGUGACAAGCUCUGACAAGAGCCCUAUAGCAGUGACAAGAUGUGACAAGGACCCUGUUGCAAUGCCAAGCUGAAAGGUCCUAAUAUGGCUAGAGGUGGAUGGAUAGCCUAUUUAAAAAAUUCUAUAAACUCACUAGAGCAAGAUGUCAGUAAAUAACAAAGCAAAGCUUUUUGCUAUAGCUCUAAUGGGGUGUUUGCAAGCCACCUAUCCAACAAUUCUAGUUGCUAUAAUCACUAGGCACACAAGAGCUAUGUCACUACAAGCUACACUAGUGACCUAUGCUACACAAUACCAAGUAAGCAACUAAACUAAUUACACUACUUCGCGGUAAGUAAAUGAAGAGGAUGAAAUAUUUUAUACCGCCGUGUAGGAGAUGAACCAAUCACCAAUAUGUGAACAAUCAAUCACCGGGAGAAUGUCAAUCAAACACAAAUGAGACACUGAUUUUUCUUCCGAGGUACACGAGCUUGCCGACCCGCUACGUCCCCGUUGUGUCGACCAACACUUGGUGGUUCGGCGGCUAAGAAGUGUAGCAUGAACCUCGUCCUCACUAGGACACUGCAAGAACCUACCCACAAGUGUGGUAGCUCAAUGACACGAGCAAUCCACUAAAGUUGCCUUUGGCUCUCCGUCGAGGUAGACACAAAACCCCUCACAAUCACCAGGAGAUGCCCAUGAACAAUCACCAACUCGUACCAAUGCUCAUCUGCUGCUCCAAUCCGUCUAGAUGGCAGCAACCACCAAGAGUAAUAAGAAAACCGUAGCCAAAUCAAUCCCCAAGUGCCACUAGAUGCAAUCACUCAAGUAAAUGCACUUGGAAUCACUCCCAAUCUCACAAAGAUGGUUAAUCUAUAAAAGAGAUGAGUGGGAGGUGUUUGCUUAGGCUCACAAGGAUGUCAAGUAUGCUAGAAUGCCAAGAGAGUGAGCCCUAAGCCGGUCAACAACUAUUUAUAAGCCCCUCAAACAAAUAGAGUCGUUGGCUCUUUCACUGGACAGAAGUCGGGUGCACCAAAUGCGCAGCCAGUGAGCCAUCGGACGCUCGAACCCUGCAUCCGGUGCUCAGAAGACAGCCAUGUGUUCCCUAAUUGAAUCUAACAUCUAACAGUCACUUUCAAACCACCAAACACGGUUAAGUAGGCACCGAACGCGUCCGAUGCACACCGAAUCCGUACGCAGAGAGAGUAUUUUUCGCGCGAGGUCACCGGAUGCGCCCCUCAGCAUCAGACCCUUAUUCAAAGAGCACUACAAACGCGCAGACAUCGAAUACGUUGAAAUCCCUAGUUUGGUUUUGGAUAAUUGAUGAAACCCUAGUACUAACCUUUAUACUAAGUGUGUGUAGACUUAAUGAGGUUGGUACAUGCGAAGUGAUGGAGCAAGAGAUGAUCAUAGUGAUAAUCGUGAUGACCACAAGAUGAUUAAGUGCUCAACUUGUAAAAGAAGAAAGAGAAAAACAAAACCCUAUGAAAAUCAAGGCAAAGGUAUUGCUUAGGGUUUUGGUUUUGGUGAUCAAGACACCAUAGAGGGUGUGAUCACAUUUAGAAUAAAUAGUCGUACUAUAAAGAGGGGAAUUCUUUGGCUAAGCGGCUAUCGAGUGCCACAAGGUGUCAUUGUUCAUAUGCAUACAUGUAUAACCUAGUGAGCUAAAUUAACUCCUUUCGAAGAAAAUGAUUGUGAAAAUACUAACACACUUGCACUUGUUGGUACAUACUUGGUGGUGUUGGCACACUUUAAGGUGGAGUUUAGGUUCCUCUCAAAAUGAAACACAUAUUUUCUAACGUUUUAUUUGACAAUUAUUAUUUAAUUAUAGACUAACCACGCUCAAAGAUUUGUCUCGUAAAUUACAGCUAAAUUGUGCAAUUAGUUAUCUCUUUUAUCUAUAUUUAAUGCUUCAUGCAUGUGUUGCAAAAUUUGAUGUAACACAAAAUCUUGAAACAUUUUGGGAACUAAACAAGCCCUAAAACCGGUAAUACAAUGCAGCAUGUACAUGCUCAGCAUUACUUAUCUGGACCAUCCAAAUGUGCUCUGAGAUUCGUGCUGCUGCACUACUCUCAACUGUGUUCACACUUAUCCCAACUGUUUCACACAUCUUGAUACAUAUUAAACGGUGUAGAUAAGGAAUGCCCAAUAUGUACACCCCAAAAAACUGCUUCCCCCUAAAACAGAGGAACGCAAUCCCGUGCGUUUCUUGUAUUUGUAUUCACCGACGCUGCACUGACACACCAUAUGUGGUGCGACACCAACGCUAUUUUCACGGUUUCACCAAUGCGAACCUGCUAUCUCGCAGCUUUAUUCAGACUUGUUUAGUUGUCAAAAAAUUUCAAGAUUUCCCGUCACAUCGAACUUUACAGCACAUGCAUGGAGUAUUAAAUUUAGACGAAAACAAAAACUAAUUACACAGUUUAUCUGUAAAUCGCGAGAUGAAUCUUUUGACUCUAAUUAGUCUAUGAUUAGACAACGUUCCUAAGCUGGGCAGGCCUGUGAGUUUAUCGCGGGAACAAGAUUACACUACAGCGGGACGCACCGCCGGCCAAGCAGUGGUCCGCUCGAGCGUUUGGCGCCGCGCCGCCGCCUGAGACGUGUCCGUGUCCGUCCAUAUGCUUGAGCGCACGGCCGCCGUUCGCGUGCUGGGGGACGCUAAACCCCACGUUUUUGCGAGUGUUGAGACCACCGAGGCACCGAGCGAUGCCGAGUCGUCGACGUGCGGCUGUGGCCUCUCUGCGGCAGCGGAACAGCGAAUCUGCUCUUGGCGUCUUUGAAUUUUGAGUGAUGGGCCGUGGGCGCACCGCCCUUGAGAGCAAAACUGGCAGCGGGCCGUUGGAUCUGCUGGACGCUCCCCUCUCUAAGCUGUAAAACGCAAGCCAUUUCACUUGAUUCAUUUCAAGGUUACGCACUUACGCUUUGCCGUAUGCUCUUGCAAAAUCAGAAUCUCUACAUACCAGUACAUGUAUUGCUCAGCAAGGGAAGGGUCAGCUGACUUUUUUUUCUCCCUUUUUGAGAAAAAUAUCAUUCAGGCCUUGUUUACUUCAUGAAAAUUUUUUAUUUUCGCUACUGUAGCAUUUUCGUUUGUAUUUGAUAAAUAUUGUCCAAUCAUGGACUAACUAGGCUCAAAAAAUUCGUCUCGCAAAUUAAAGGCAAACUGUGUAAUUAAUUUUUGUUUUCGUUUAUAUUUAAUGCUUUAUGCAUACGUCCAAACAUUCGAUGUGACGGAAAAUCUUUAAAAAAAAUUGGAUUUUUGGAUGGAACUAAUGAAGAACGACUUCUCUACCGAGCAGGAAUUGAAUAGACCACCAUCUUCGCCGCUAGCUAGGAGAACUAGAGGGCUAGCAGAGGCAAUGCUCCCCUCUCCAAGCACAGGGAUUCAUUUAAAUACCUAUAUAAAUAUUGAUAUUUGUAGCAUAAAAAGUAUCAAUUUUACAAUUCUUUUUAAAAUAUGAUGAUUUUAGUAAAAAAUAGUAUACUUUUUUUAAAAAGGUUUUUCAAACAUAUCAUUAUGUAUAUUAUAUCAUAUUUUGUUCGACUUCUUUAAUCACUGCCACUCAUCUUCGCGGAUCGAAAUGCACGGCUAACAUCACAUGGACCACCUUCCCUAGCAUUCAUUGUCGUUGGACCUGAAGUUUCAAGAAUGUCGUGUGGGCUGGCUCUCCCGUGGGUAAGAGAAUUCAGCCCUAAGAAAUAAUGCGGUCCACCUCAUAGUGAGGCCGAAGCAACGAAGCCCAACUUAUUGAGCCUCCAGUCCACUGGGCUCGAUUGCAAAAAUACCUUGGCAUGAUCUGACCGAGCCUAGUAGCUGUCCUCGCUCAACUGUUACUGAAGUCUUAUUUUUCUUUUUAAACUCUAAAACGGGUGAACCACUAUCCUUAAUUUUUAAAAUAAUGUAUUUUACCUCCCUCAACUUUUGCGUAGUUAUGUUUUUCCUCUCUAAACUACAAAUCGGAUAAACCACCUCUCUGAAGUUAAAAAACUGUUCGUUUUACCUCUCUGACUAGUUAUAAGCGGUUUUAAAAUAGGUUUUGUUUAUUUAUUUAGUUAUUUUGAUUGAAUUUUUUUAAAAAAUAAUAUUAAAUAAUAAGAAAUUCAUAAAACAAAUAAUUCAAUUUUGUUGGACUCUACAUAAGUAAAUUUACACGGUGAAUAUAUAACAUAAUAUGCUUUAGUGCAUUUUUUAUGUAGCUUUAGAUCUAUGGUAUUCAAUAUUUAUUACAUAGCUAUAGUUUUUAUGGUCUAAUUAUAGUAAAAUUUUUAUCAUAGGCUAAUUAUUGUAUAUUUGAACUCUAGUAAAAAUUUCAUAUCCACGGACUGAGCCGCGGAGAGGGCAAGCCACACCGGCUGGCAAGACGCAUGGCGCUGUGCGCCCUGCUGCUGCUUUGGCACCAGCUUGAAAAUCUCCUGCUUGAGCUCCGUCUAGCCCUCCUUCAACUCCUGUAUCUUCGACAGCAGCAGCUCCUCCACCGCCAUUAUUGGCGGGACGCGCGGUGGUGUAGCAACGAAGCCGAAUUUGGCGGCCAACUGUGCUGCCAAAACGGAAAGAAUGAGGUAGGCCGUCGAUGGCGUGAGGCAAUUAUUGGGCCGGGCUCAUUUUUCAGGUGUUGCGUGGUCGCCAGCGAGCGCGACUGAUUGGCGAUUAGAUUUUGCGUUUAGAGUGGAAUUUGCCUUUGAAAUAUCCUAUAUGCAGUCUAGUCCAUGGGCCCUGACCAUUGAACCGCAGCCCACAAGCUACAAGUUAAGGCAUCAAGGCCCAAAGGCUAAGUAAAGUAACGCUUCAGCAUAUCUCUAAACCUCUCUUGUUCUGUUGUGAGUUAUGACUGCAGCUGUUCAACGAAUCAGACCUUGCAGCCAUGGCUGAUGGCAGUCGAGGACAACUUGGUGAGGUGGGCAUCCGCGGCGGAGCCACCUUGCCCUACUGGCCCUCGCCCAUGGUGAUGUGCCUCGGUGCUGGAAUGCUGGCUUCUUGAGUAGCAAGGGUCCCCUUCUUUUUGGGUGGACUGGAGCAACCACCGCACCCCUAGGGCGGGCCCUUGCACGAGAGCGAACAGUGAUGGAGCCAGGAGUCACCAUCGGAGAAGAAAAGCACACGGAGCCUGUAAAGGUUGCACAACGGGAUGAUCUUUUUCGGCUUCUUCGGUAUCCAAAUGCACAUACCGAAUUAACCAUACUUAGUUCAGUUACUUAGAACCUGAGAUGUGAGAUCGAAGCUUUCGAUUUUGGUCACUUCCUUUUGGAUCUCUAUCAUGUUGAUUCAGUUUUCAGUCACUGGUUAAUUAUGGCUGCGACGACUUUACCACUUUAGUACUACAUGGUGCAUUAAAAUUGCUGUUGAAAGCACCCUCCGCGGCGAUUAUAUAUGAUAGUUCAGGGAGAAUCAAUAUAUGGUACCACGGUUCGAGGAGAAAAUCAUACACAUCCAAUAAUCGAAAGGUGUGAAAUACUGUAGAACUUUACCACCCAAUGACGACUUUCGGCAGCCGAGUCGAGCCCACACUGCGGGCACAAGCAUUUUCCACAUGGCGGUCCAGACAUCACUACAACUGACAAGGGCAAAGCAACCGAUGGUUAACAGUUACGGAAUAGAGACUAGUUUUGAACAUGUUCGUUGUACCCUUAGUCAUAGAUCACAGUCACAAAAGAGACUUUGGUUGUGUGGUGCUGGUGCUCGCAGGUUGCCGCAGCAUGUUGUAACUUUUAAGUCCACUAGAUUACUAGUACAUCGUCUAUAAUAACGAUAUUAAGAUGUGCAUCUUUUCUGUGAAUUUGGGAGAAAGAAAAAGAAAAGGGAAAACCGCUGUGGAGCAGUUUGCAUCAUCCCGUUUGUUGGCUCAGCCGAAGCAGCCACUCUGAUACGCAACUAUAGCCUUGUUUAGUUCCGAAAAGAUUUCGGAUUUUGGUACUGUAGCACUUUCGUUUGUUUGUGACAAAUAUUAUUCAAUUAUGGACUAACUAGGAUCAAAAGAUUCGUCUCGCGAUUUCCAGCUAAACUGUGUAAUUAGUUUUUGCUUUCGUCUAUAUUUAAUAUUUCAUGCAUGUGCCACAAGAUUCGAUGUGACGGGGAAUCUUGAAAACUUUUUGCUUUUUGAGGUGAACUAAACAAGGCCUAUGCAUGAAUUCUAGCUGUCUGAAUGUACGAUACGAUGUGAUAAUGCUGCUUGAUGUACAGAGUUGUCGCGUAGAUCAGCACGAUACAGACGAAGUUUCUCAAUCGUUCAACUAAUGCAGACACGUCAACCCUUCACUACCAUUAGUAAUGGACUACUAGUAGUAUGGAUAGACCUGGCAGAGACGGUGCAUUGUCAUUGAAGAGGCCGUGCAAAGGCAAAUUAGCAGGCGUCUUUUUGUUUUUGUUUUCCUUCUUAUUUUAAAGAAAAGUAGCAGCCGUCAGCUCGUCAUCACACUAUAUAUGGCACUUGGCCGCGCUCUCCUCAAUACAGUGGCCACUCGUCACUUCGAGAUCGAUCUCUUCAGUCUUCAGCCACCACCCUCCCAGUUGGCCAUGGUGGAGGAUCGGAGCCCCAAGCCCAUCCAUUGCAAAGGUACUACUGCAACCUCCAUGCUUUUUCUACUCGCCAUGGAUGGAUGUGAACGAGAUCCUGCUGUUAACCUCUACUAACCUUUGAUGUCACCUCGCUCGGGGCGGGGCGUGCACCGAACACGCAGCGGCGGUAUGCAGAGCCGCCGGCGAGCCACUCACCGUCGAGGAGAUCGUCGUCGAUCCGCCGAAAGCCUACGAGAUCCGCAUCAGGGUCAUCUGCACCUCGCUCUGCCACACAGAUGUCACCUUCUGGAAAGCUAAGGUAAGUACAUUCGCUUAAGGUUAUGUACCAAAUUUACCAGCCAUUUAGUAGUAUUUUUUUUAAAACAAAUCAGCGAAAAUUUGAUAGAUGAAUGGAAGCUCAAUAGCUGAAGUUUAGUUUACUGCUCCCUACCUACCUGCUGCAAACACUAACCAAUUCGAGUCUUUUUUUUUUCUAUUCUUUUCAACUUUGUAUAUAUAGGUGGCACCAGUAUUUCCAAGAAUAUUAGGGCACGAGGCGUACGGGUAUGCCCAUCUUUUCCUUGUCCAGCGGAAUCAUGCGAUCCUCGCUUGUUCUGACAUAUCUCUUUCAGCGAUAGAUUUUCCCAUGUUUUUCUUUUAAUUUAAUUUAAUUAUCCACCCGGCACGCACACGGGGGUUGCAAUUGCAAUUGCAAUGCAUGCAGGGUAGUGGAGAGCGUCGGGGAGCACGUGGAGGACUUCGCCGCGGGCGACACCGUGGUGCCGACGUUCCUGGGCCAGUGCUCGCACUGCGGCAGCUGCACGUCGGAGCACAGCAACAUGUGCGACUCGGUGCCGUUCGUCAUCGGCCCCGGGAUGCGGCGCGACGGCACCACCAGGUUCCGGGACGCGCAGGGGAGCCCGCUGCACGACCUCCUCGCCGUGUCCAGCUUCGCCGAGUACACCGUCGUGGACGUGAACCAGGUCGUCAAGCUCGACCCCGCCGUGCCGCCCAAGCUCGCCUGCCUCCUCAGCUGCGGCGCCGGCACCGGUGAGCUGCUAACGCCAGCUUUAAGUACCACUAGCUUAAUUAAUCAGUUGGUGUCUAUUCGAUCUACUGUCACACUGCUGAUCAGUGACAGAAAGAACGUUCAAUAAUUCAGGGGUAGGAGCAGCGUGGAGGACGGCCAAGGUGGAGCCGGGUUCGACUGUUGCCAUCUUUGGCCUUGGAUCUGUCGGUUUGGCGGUAAGCCCCUGUCCUGCACGUAUCUUAGUUAUUCUUGUGUUAAUCAUAUGCAUGCGCUGUAACUUGUGGCGGUCACACACUCACACUUUGGUUGGCAGGUGGUCCAAGGCGCCAAAAUGUGUGGAGCAUCCAAGAUUAUCGGUGUUGAUCUCAACCCUGACAAGGAGAACGUAGGCGAGUCGAUCGAUCGAUAUCCUUUCCCAUUUCGUGACAGCAGAUCAGCGCACGUACCAUGCAUUAUCUAGUGCCAGCUGCUAGCUUGUUCUGUAUAUGUCAAAAUUGAAUGGAGAGAAGUAAAAUUGUCCACUCCGCUCUUGACUACUCUUUAUCGCAGGGAGAUCGUUUGGCGUGACAGACUUCGUCAAUCCGUCGCAACUGGACAACCGUUCCGUCAUAGAGGUAAGGAUUAUGAAUCCUAGCGUCGUCGCAGUCUUAUCUCUUAUCUGAAGGCAGCAGCAGUCCAUCACCUGCAAAUGCAUCUUCUCUGUUGUUGGUUCAACUGCAGGUGAUCGUUGAGAUGACCGGCGGCGGCGUCGACUACAGCUUCGAGUGCAUCGGCGUGCCGUCGGUGAUGACCGACGCCUUCAGAUGCACCAAGAUGGUUCGUUAUUUCGUUGUAACUAAUUAACUUGUGAACCGACGAAGCCAAUGCAACUUCGUGCAAGGUGUUAGUAACAUCUGAAAGAAAGAAAAAAAUUGGUGUCGGCAGGGAAAGGGCAAGACGAUCGUGCUGGGGCUGGGAAGGGACAGCGACCAAGUGUGCCUGCCGUCGCUGGAGCUGCUGUUCGGCAGGUGCGUCAUGGGGACGCUCUUCGGCGGGAUGAAGCCCAAGACCGACAUCCCCAUCCUCGCCAAGAAAUGCAUGGACAAGGAGCUGCAGCUGGACGCGCUGGUUACGCACGAGCUAGGACUGCAGGAGAUCAACACGGCCUUCGACCUGCUCCUGCAGGGCAAAAGUCUGCGCUGCAUCAUCUGGAUGGACAAGGACAACAAGUGAUGGACAACAGGGGCGGCGCGCCCCGGACCAAACCUGUGGCUCUGAAUAAAUUUGCCGUCUUUCAGUUUGGCGAUGCGAUGCGUCGCUGAAAACUGGUGCUACAAGCGACCAGGAGUAUCUGUUCCUGAAAGCCGACGUUACUCUGGUGUAUCAGUUUCGUUUCGUUGUCUGAAUUGAUUAAUUAUAACGUAUUUGUUACUCAUGUCAUGUAUCGACAUCACUACAUGGAACAGCUGCUAUAUCGCUCAUUCGAACAUCGUAUGAACAGCAACGUUCAGAACUAUAUUCUUUCAAAACGUUCAGAACUAUACUAAAAAAAAAAGGCAAGCUCCCAACUCCCAAGCCGACCUUCAGGUGGUAUACCCGCGUGAGAGAUAGACACACAGCAUGCGAGUGAAAAACGUGUGAAAAGGCAUGGUUUGAAAAUACUGUUUACUGAUUUAUUUUAAGAAAAAAACAUUAUUCGCUGAUAGAAAAAAUACGACUUAUAAGACAAGCGCUCCAUGAAUUUCUCGUGCUUGAAAAAGUUAGGGAUCUUAGGAGGAUUUGAGUUUCAAAAGGGGCCUUAAGGUAUGAACGAGCUCGUUGGGCGCUGAUAAGCAGCUAAUAUUUGUUUAUCUAUAAAAUCAAGAUAUAUGGUGCCUACCUUGGAGUCAAAUCAUUAGAAUACAUGGAUAAUGUUAGCGUGUGCUUUCAUACUCUACUCAGUUAAUUAGGUUAAGCCAAGACUGAGAAAUGGUGAUAGUUCAGUUAGCUUACUUAGUACUCCCUCUAUCCUAAAUUAUACUCUCUCAGUCCCAAAUUAUAAGUCAUUUCAAGAAUCUUGGAGAGUCAAAGUUUUCAAGUUUGACCAAAUUUAUAUAGCAAAAUAAUGACAUUUUUGGUACCAACCAAGUAUCAUUAGAUUCUUUGUUAGUUAUAUUUUCAUAGUGUACCUAUUUUAUGACAUAAAUCUUUAUAUUUCUCUUUAUAUUUUUUGUUAAACUUGAAAAUAUUUUGACUCUCCAAGAUUCUUGAAAUGACUUAUAAUUUGAAACGGAGGGAGUAAGUCAUUUCAAAAAUCUUGGAAAGUCAAACCAUCUCAAGUUUGACCAGAUGUCAAACUUGAGAUGAUUUGACUCUCCAAGAUUCUUGGAAAGUCAAACCAUCUCAAGUUUGACCUUAUGUACUUUCUCUGAUCCAAAAUAACAACAUUAUAGGAUUCAAACUUUGUCCCAAAAUGGUUGUCAUUCUCAUUUUUCAAUGCACAUUUCUCUUCUCCUAAUACACUUUUUUACAAUAUAUUUCUAUCUCUCCUUGUUUUCUAUGUGCCACACCUUUUCACUUCUCCUAAAUUCCUAUGUCCAAAUCUGAAGCUUCAACUAUUUUAUGACGAAGGGAGUAGAUGUUUACCAACAAGGACAUGUAGCCCUUAUACUUACAAACAUCAACUGUACAACCAAGUAGAUAAAAACAAAAGUAUAAAUAUGGGAUAUGAAUGUAAACGAAAUGCAGAACAAAACAAAGAUGCAAGAAGUUGUUUCUCGAAGUCUAGGCUCACUAAAGUGAACCCUAUCUCCAUUGAGGAAACCCAAAGCAACCCAAGGGUUAAGUUAAGUCCAGGUCUCUUUUAACCACUUUCCUCUUUUUAUUAGCUUGAUCUAUUUUCCUUCUAGAGGCAAGAUCACAGCCAUCGUAAACAUCCCAUGUUACAUACUCCAGAAGAUCUAGUGCUCACCAGGAGAGGCCUAAUUGUCUAGGAAGCAUUGUUUGCAAGAGUAAAAAAUGCUCCAUGAGUUGUUUGACAUAGCCACCAAGUGCUCAAGGCUUAGGAUUUCUUAGAAGUUCUUUAACACACCAAAUUUCUUGACUCAAUCCAAAGGUUCUUACUCAAAUUACAAAAAUCCCACAAACUGGAGGUUGGAGAGAGCUCUACUGCCUUCUGAAAUAGUUAGAACAUGAAAGGCACCAACAACUUGCCAAUAGGGGAGGAGAGGGGUAUAAAUACCCCCACCAAAAACUAUUGGCAUUGGAAACUGACUCGACCAAAACUGACAUGCCAAUUUCAACAAAAUGGGACUAGUUAGUUUGCAUGAACUCUGUGGAACUUCCAUACACAUUUUGCCUAAAGAUUCACAUAAAUUUUUUUAUUGAGCACUCUCAAAUGCAUGUUAGGGGUUUCUCUCAUUUUCUCAUAAUGAUUUUUGAGCACAUUGGCCUUGUCUUUCAACGAACGAUGCAUCCCCUCUAUAUAGUGCGGCAUACCUAUACUCAAGAUACAAAGAUAUGCAAAAAGAUCCCACCAUAUAUGAGCCUCUAUGUCUUUAAACUAGUCGUCACUUGAACUUUCACUUUUUGAGGGCUUCCAACAUUGCAUGCAUGGGAGCAAUAACCCUUGAGAUAGUUAGAGCAUCUCUAGUAGGGCCCCUAAACACACUAUACCCUACUUCUCAGGGGUGGAACAAAAAAAAUAAGGUCCAACAUGCCCCCAUCGUCAAGCCCGUAGAUCUAGGAGUCACUCAAAUAACACUACCUAAGCUUCUCCCAUGGUUGAAGUAGGAGAGCCUAUGGUUAAUUUUUUUGCACAUCUAUGCGUGUUCAUUCCUCCUCUCGUAGCCACUUAUCAUCCACACUCUAAUGACAAUUGACUUUCAAUCAUUAGAUUAGCGACCUCCAUGCUGAGAUCCCAAAUCCAUUGUGCUUUGCUCGAGUGUCGUCCUCCCCUAUGCCUGGCCAUGAGGAGAUCCACAUCAUCAACAUGGAUGGCCAUGAUGAGGGUCAUGAUGGCAUGGGUGGUUGUGAGGGCCUAAUGGUAGCAGUGUGGAGGAACUUGAGGAAACAUACCCAUUGGAUCUAUGGAAUCCAGAAGAGCACGAGUACUCCAUGCACUCCAUGUAGAAAGAAAAAGGAAAGGAAGGAGAAAUAAAAACAUGCCCAUCAGAUCUAAUUGACUUACAGGUCUUGCAUGUCAUAAAUAAGUAGGGGUUGAGGUUUUAGGGCUAAUUGUUGGAGUUGUGGGAUGAAAUGAAGGCUUGCCCCAUCUCAUGCAAGUACAGUCCUUGAUUUAGGUAGUAUUUGUUGGAGAUACUCUAACUUAGAAACUUUGUGACCAUGUGAUCAAGACACACUUAAUUUUCAUCCAUAAGUAACCACAACAUAUGAUUCACAUUACAUGAUUGUUGAUGGUUUCAUGAGUUUCUUAGUGUUUACCCAAGUACUUAUUUUCUUUACCCUAACCUUGUUUACUCAGUGUCAAGUCACCAUAUGUUUCCAUUCUUAAGUUAAACCUUGUGUUUGUGUCAACAAUCAUUCAUUUGGGAAAAACAUUUCUUUAUUUGAAUAAUCAUCAAGUGGAUGACAUCUUCAUAGCGCCUUUCUUGAUCAACAUAUGUUGCGAGCAUGGUUAGUUGUCAUCCAUAUGUUUCCUUAAGGCAUACACCUUCCCUUCUCGAAACAUAUCUCUACAAUUGAUUGGAUAUCCACUUAUCAUUUUUUAAUACUAGUAUCAUCAUUCUCUUAACUAAAAACAACCCUACGAGUAAGUCCAUUGUGGGAACCACCAGUGAGGUUUUAUUGUUCGUUAUGUUCCUCUCAUUCACCCUUCCUUCAAGCAUCAACACUAGAUAUAUAUUUGAUUCGCGAAGUGCAAUCUUCUCGAACCAUUUUCAGCAUUUGCAUAGGGUCUUCAGGUAGUGCUAGUAAGUUAGGAGAACUGUUUGUUACUUAUUGUUUGAUACAUCAUACAUAGAUGAAUUUUGGAGGAUCUUGACCAACACACACUAUGCUAUUCUUUCAUUUAUGCAAGAGGUGUGUUUGUGACUAGACCCUUAUACCAUACAAGUAACUAGAUCAUAUAUGGACUUUAAUUUCUCUAUCUUUGGAUGGACAAUAAAAGGCAGGUAGACAUACUUGUACGUGUUAGAGGUACAUUAGAUCCAAGGACCAACAAGGUGGCUCCUUGAUACUCAAAGUUUUGCUAUUAAUUAAUUAAAUUUCUAUGGGCUCUUUAAUCAAAUAUUCUGUCUUCAAAUCCAAUAUUAACUAUCUAUUAUUUUCUAAUUCUAUAAUUAGCUAUUUGUUAAUUGUGUCCAACAUGAAUUCCUUAUCUAGUACUUUUAUUUGUAAUUUGUAUAUAAAGCCCACUACUCUUCUUAUCCAUUUUUAAUUAUGACGAAAGUCAAUAUAUAUUAAUCAUAUUUUGCAUGAUGCUGUUAUAUUUAUUCCUGAUUAAUGCGAUACUACCACCAUUCCCAAAAAAGUGGUGUUUCAAGGAAAAACAUAGAUUAGCUAAGAGCAUGGCUAAUAAUUAGCAAAUUUAUAAAAAAGAUAUCAAUAUUUCUAAUGGCAAAUAGGUGUCAUUAUAUUUUUAUGGUACGCAUUUAUAGUGUUAUAAUUGAUACUUUUUUUAUAUGAAUUUUAUCAAACCGUACAUAAUAUGACUAAAGGCAGAAUUUGAGUUCCAUCCUUUUUAGGUGGAAGUUUUUUUUUUUCUUUUUGCAGCAGAUGAGAUGGACAAGAACUGAGCAUAAAUAAAAUUUUUAAAAAAGAAAAGUUGCAGAGAGUCGACGACGGCAAGUCGAGAGCAUCUUCCCCACGACGCCAAAUCGCGGAGCGGCGGAUCACCCAGUUGUUUCCUUCCACGGACAACAACGCUGUCAAGGAAGAAGAAAAAUAUAAAAGAAACAGAACGUCUGAACUGUAGAGGACAAAGCUCUGGCCAUUUUAUAUAUAUCGAUGCCUGCUCUGGCUCUGGUCUCUCGCAACCACACCGUGCGCCCUUCGAACGCAUCUACUGGGCACCACCGGCGAGUCUUCUGCAUCCUCGAUGGAGAACCAUGGCCCCAAACCAAUCCGAUGCAAAGGUAUGCAGCUGGAUUCUUGAGCUCUGCCGCGUCAGUUUGGAUUCAGCUGCCUUAUGCGUUAGGCUUAUCUUAGUAGUGUUUUUUUCUCACCGUAAAUCAGCGAACAAUACUUUAAAUUAUGACUUUUCAUAUCAGCAAACAUGUGGCUUCGUCUUUCUCCCUUCCCAGCGGCCUUAGUCUAACCAGUCGUCGCUUCCCUUUCCGGUGACGAGCAGCGGCCGUGUGCAGGGCCGCCGGCGAGCCGCUGGCCAUCGAGGAGAUCGUCGUGGACCCGCCCAAGGAGCACGAGGUCAGGAUAAGGAUCAUCUGCACGUCGCUCUGCCACAGCGACGUCACGUUCUGGCGCAUGAAGGUUUGGCUUUCCUGCAAAUCGCCGGCCAUCGACCUUGUUGUGGCCCUCACCGCCGUGGCCUACACCGCCUCACGAGUGUCGUAUACUUCGUCUGUUUGUGUGAACUUUGCAGGAUUUCCCUGGCAUUUUCCCCAGAAUAUUUGGCCACGAAGCCUUCGGGUGAGUGCUCGCUACACAGUUCCUUGCCGCACAAAUUUUUUUUUCCCCUAUUGGUCACUCAAUUUCAACAGCGUUCGUUGACAAAAUAUGCCGUGUCUUUGUGUUUCCCGCCGUCGACUUUAUCAAAACUUGGGCCUUGUUUAGUUCACCAUAAAAUCCAAAAAGUUUUCAAGAUUUCCUAUCACAUCGAAUCUUACGGCACAUCCAUAAAACAUUAAAUAUAUACGAAAACAAAAACUAAUCACACAGUUUGACUGUAAAUCGCGAGACAAAUCUUUUGACCCUAGUUAGUCUAUGAUUAGACAAUAUUUACCACAAACAAACGAAAAUGAUACAGUAGUGAAAUCCAAAAAAUUUUCAUAUCUAAACAAGGCCUUGAAGGCUAGAGUGAUGUUUGACGUUGAAAUGCUACAUGUGUGUCGUCUUUCGUGGUUGUCUUUGUAACUGACGCUUCAUAAAAGAAAAACUAUAUAGCAUGGAAAGUUGAACUUUGAUGUAUACUGCUGCUCACCAAUUCACAUGUACAAAGUGGACAUAAUGCAAUUGUCAAAAGGUUCCGAUAAACUAAGCAUAACCAGUUUCGUCAAGAAACACUAAGUAUAUAAGGGUGAUAGAAACUAUGCACAUUUUUCAUAGCAAUUAUUAAUAUAAAAUUAUCUAUAGAAACUAUCCUCCACAAUGGAGUUGUCUUUGGGUAAUAAAUACACUCUCUUUUUUUCAAUGUCUCCUUAAUCUCUUCCUCUGAUGCGCUCUCUCUUCCCUGCUUCUCUCUGCCAUCCCAAGCACAGUGACAGGAAUCCUAUGCUCUCUCUUCCCCCUCGUUCUCUCUAGAACCAAAAGCAAUGGACACAGGAUCUGCAGCAACGUGUGUGUGGACGGUGGCUGACCAGCGUCCAGGCACGCGAGCUACACGCCACAUCCAUUGCGCCUGUGCAUCCUCCUCUCGAGUCGAUCUCCGACCUCUGCGCGUGUGUGGGCGGUGGCCGGCCGGCAUGCGUCCGUGCACGCGAGCUACAGGCCACAUCAGUUGCGCCUGUGCAUCCUCCUCUGAGUCGAUCUACAGCCUCUCCGACCUCUGCGCGUGUGUGGGUGCCUGGGCGGUGGCCGGCCGGCGCCACGGGCAGCGCGGACGAACGCGACGACACAGGCGAGCCUGGCCGUCACGCGUGACCGCGGCCGGUGCGGGCGAGUGCGUCAGGCAAGCUACUGCGGCCGGCACGGGCGAGCUUGGCCGUUGCAGGCGGCUCGAGCGAGCGCGUCCGGCAAGCGAGCACAGCGGCGCAGAUAAGCGCGUGCGAGCCCGAAACGGCUGGUUUCUUCCCAACGGGAAAAUCCUCGUUUCUUCGUGCCUCGAUUCAAUCGAAGACGUCGUUUCCCUACGAGGAAACAGUUUCCUCAAUUUUUUUUUCUCUUUUCUUAUUAAUUAGACUGCCACAUCAGUAUUUUGCUUAGUUGGCAAGUCAUUUAAUAGAGAUAGAAACCAUAAUUAAUUUUCCAUUGGGACUGCCCUAACCAGUAAAUGACAUUUGCGUUAGUACCGCGCGCUCACGCUUCGGCGAAUUCUGACGAGUAACAAGUUGCACGGUGACGUUGGGUACUGUAGUGAGUAGUGAGAUAUCAUUGAAGUUAACUCAGAAUUGACUGCACAACUGAAAACCUGCAUUGUUUAGCUCAAGCUAAGUCAACUGUCGAAUCUCUUAGCAAGAGGACGUCAGCAGCGUUAGUGUUCAUAUUAGGUGGAAUGUAGUGUAUUUUUUUCUGUAGCUGCAAACCAAACAACAUUUGCUACUUAUUCCCUUUUUUGCAGGUAAUAUAAAAUACCCUACUGAUUAAAAUCAAGAGAAAAAACAUAUCAGCUUGUAUAUAAAAAACUUGGCAUAGUUCGGGGUGUAAAAUUUUAGGGUGUCAUAUCGAGUGUUACACAGUGGUGUCGCAUGGAGUGUUCAAUACUAAUAUAAAAUAAAUUACAAAAUUUGCAAGAUGAAUUUAUUAAGCUCAAUUAAUACGUCAUUAGCACAUGUGUUACUGUAGCCUUUAUUAUCAAACCAUGGACUAAUUAUGCUCGCAAUAUGUGUAAUUAGUUAUUUUUUAGUCUAUAUUUAACACUCUGUGCAUGUGUCUAAACAUUCGGUGGAUAGGGUGUAAACUUUUGGGGAGGAACUAAACAAGGUUGCGCGAGAGAUGGGUUGUUUCCAUACAAGUUGAUUUUUUUUUCUAGUUACAUUAGUGGUUCUUGUUUGAAAAAGAAUCUUAGUAGUAUUAUUAAUUAAAUUAUCACAUCGCCAAUAAUAACUAGUGGGUACAAUCUUUUUUCUAAAAAUAUACAUACCCCUAAUAUUAUAAAAGACAUUAAGUAAACUCCAAAUUUGCUAAAUAAUCCACAUCCAUCGCUAUGAAAAAUAAAUGAAAUAACCCUUUAAAUCUACAUCUAAAUUGUCUACCUCUACAAAAACAUAAUUUAAAAUAAUCCCUAAAUUUUCAUCUAAAUUUUCUACAUCUUCCAUUGUGAAAGAUUAUGCAAAUUUGCCUAAAAUUUACUUUUCAAUUGCCCACAAACACUAUUACAAAAGGAUAAUUAAAAAAAUCCUUUAUUUUGUUUCCGAAUUAACCUCCUCUGCAUUAUAAAAAUAAAAUACCCCUCAGAUCUGUUAGGAACUUCAACUGAAAAUGUGUUCGAAGCAAUUGACAUGCCCCCACCAAAUUUGUUUGGAAUUUGAGAGAUCCAUGGCAGUAAAGGAAUUGAUGCAUUCCUGACAUAGCUAAAGGACUAGCGGCUUAGUGGAUUGUCAUCAGGAGCCUGCUAAUCGGAACCUGGUCACAAGCUGAUACUGGCAUGCCUGUGCAGGGUUGUGGAGAGCGUCGGCGAGCACGUGGAGGAGUUCGCCGCGGGCGACGCCGUGGUGCCGACGUUCCUGGGGCAGUGCAGCGAGUGCGUGGACUGCAGGUCCGCGCGGAGCAACAUGUGCUCCAAGUACCGGUUCGCGGUGCGCCCGGGGAUGCCGCGCGACGGCACCACCCGGUUCAGCGACGCCCAGGGGCGCCCGCUCCACCACUUCCUGGGCGUGUCCAGCUUCGCCGAGUACACCGUGGUGGACGUGAACCACGCCGUCAAGGUCAACCCCGCCAUGCCGCCGGCGCUCGCCUGCCUGCUCAGCUGCGGCGCCUCCACUGGUUGGUGCCGCAGAUGACACAUUUGCUUGUUGCUGUGGCGCAUCGUUGGUGAUAUUUAACUCGAUCGGACCCAAGAAAAUCGCAGGUGUCGGAGCCGCAUGGAAGCUGGCGAAAGUUGAGCCUGGAUCUUCGGUCGCUAUCUUUGGCCUCGGCGCUGUAGGAUUGGCGGUUAAGUAACACAUUCAGAGCUCCACGUUUUUCUUCAUUUAUUACUACCAAUAUGUACACUACUCAGAAAUUCAGAGUUUGACACCAACACUUAACUGAGAUUUAACCUCUGUCUAGUAUUCAGCUGUCGUUUCAAAAAGCGAAGUAUUUAGUUGAGCACAACUCGUAGUAUAUAUAUCCUCCUUGAUGACAGAAUAGUUAUUUUUGUAUACGUAGCAAAAAAAGAGUUUCUUCACACUGUGAUUGUAGCUUUCGUCUUCUACAAAUGUCAAAAAAAAAAGUUUUCUGGGCACUACAAUGCUGAAUACUAAUAUUUGAAAUUUUGACAUGUAGGUAGCUGAAGGAGCCAGGAUUUGUGGGGCGUCAAAGAUAAUAGGCGUGGAUAUAAACCCUGAUAAAUAUGAACUUGGCAAGCCUUUUGUUUCUACCUUGAUUGAGACUGUUCUGAACUUCAUUACUUCAACUUCUUAAAUGCAAAGUUCUGACGCACUUCGUCCACUGUUUCUUCCUGCAGGCAAGAAGUUCGGCAUGACACAUUUUAUCAAUCCAAAAGAACUUGGCGAGAAACCUGUCUACCAGGUGAUCACCCGUGUUCUUGCCAUUUGCAUCUCAUUUUUUUUAGUAGCAGUAGGGGUGAUCUUCCCCCAAGUGCCCAUCUUUUAAUCACAUUUUUUCUCUCUCAGCCUUAACAUCACAUCCUGUUUUGGUUGUCAACAGGCGAUCGUCGAGAUGACUGACGGUGGCGCGGACUACUGCUUCGAGUGCAUUGGACUGGCAGCGCUGAUGAACGACGCAUUUCAGAGCUCCCGAGAGGUAUGCACACUACACUCGUGGCGCCACGCUGCUACUUGAAUCGAUCUUGUGUUAUGAAUGCCCUACCCUUUUGUGUUUAUUUCGUUCAGGGGUGGGGCAAGACGAUCAUUCUUGGAGUGGAAAUGCACGGCGCCCCUCUCGCUGUCUCUUCUCAUGAGAUCCUCCGCGGGAAGUCUGUCAUUGGGUCCAUGUUCGGAGGGGUGAAGCCUAAGCAGGACAUUCCCAUUCUCGCAGACAAGUACCUGAACAAGGUACAGCUAAAAUCAGACAUACCGAGCAUAGUGUCACCAUUAUAGUUCCAGUCUUGGCUUUGUAUGCAUGGACUCCUGGCAUUUUGUUGCAGCGAUAAUCUUUCUUGGUUUACCUCUGUUUAGGAGCUGGAGCUUGACAAGUUCAUAACCCAUGAAGUUGGCCUCAAUGACAUCAAUGAAGCUUUUGACCUGCUGCUCCAAGGGAAGAGUGUCAGGUGCACCAUAUGGAUGGACAGGUGAUGCAACUAGAGUUUCGGAACCGAACGUGAAGCUGCGCUGUGAUGCUUGCGCCUCUUUCAGUGGAAAUUAAUGGUUUAGCAGCUGCCAAAAUAAAUGUUCUCUGUAUUGUGCAUUCGAGUUUUCCAUUCUUUUUCUUUACGUUCAAAUGUCAAACUAGACCUGAUUAACGUUCCCACAUUUUAAAUUGCGGCUCUAUCUAGUUAUUUUUCACAACCUGCCAUUCUUGAUGAACAUUUUUUGCCGUUCUUGAUGAACAUUAGUAAAGUAUUAAUGAUGGACUAUAUGUGUCAUUGAUAUAGUAAACUCAACACAGCACGUCUCUAUCCCUUAAUAGAGGAACUCACCGUGAGGAAUCCGAUAUCGGAGCCCAUUGAUAUCCCUAAUUCUAUGAGGCUUUGUAGCACACGUGAAGCUCAAUUGCUCCAAAUAUAGUAGUAGUGCUUAUAUGUACAAACUAUAGCUGGAGCCACCAGUUCAGGCAGGAUUGCAGGUAAACAUAUCAUUCGCUCCAAGUUUAGAUUGGCAUUCCACACCACAGGUUUAGCAAAACCUGCAAAUCCACGCAUGCAUGCGACGACGUCCCCCCUUUUUAUCCUCUCCUUCCUCGGAAUGCCUCAAAUUUUAGCGCAUUUCCACUCGCCGAUCCCUCCAGGGUCCAAGAUCCCUUGCUCCGAUCGCCGUGCAGCAUUUCAAGAACCGCUCAAUCCGUCGAGGACGAGAUGCAGGAAAGCCGGCGGGACAUGGAUCAUCAGGUCGCCCAGCUUCGGGGCGAGCUGCGCAAGGUGCGCGACGAGCGAGACCGCGCGCACCGCGUCCUGGAGGUGACCGACUGGAAGGCGCUGGCUUCGGCCAAUGACCGCACCGCGAUUGAGACGCUCGAGGCCGAUCUCGCCGUGUCGCGGGAAUCCGAGAAACGGAUGCUCGACUCGCUGGCGACGCAGACGAAGCAGCUGGAGCUCACCAAGAUAUCGCUCGAGGAAGCCAAGCUCCAGAUCGCGUCGCUGCAGGACACCGUCCAGAGGCUGGAGGCCGACAGAAGCCCCCUCGCCACGACGCCGAGGAACCGGCGCGACCGCGACAUGCAGAGGGUUCACGGCGAGCUGCGGGUGGCCCUGGCGGCGGAGGAGAAGAGCAAGAAGGCGAUGGAGGAGUUCGUGCAGGCGCUCAAGGAGGUGAACGCGGAGCUGCACACGACGAAGCAGCAGCUGGCGCGCGCGCAGCACGAGGCGGAGUCGGCCAGGCUGGACGCCGACCGCCUGCACAUGUCGGCGAAGCGCAAGGACGAGAAGCUCCGGGCGCUGUCGGACGAGGCGGCGCGGCUCCGCGCCGAGGCCGAGGAGUCGUUCACCACGUGGCGGGGCAAGGAGGCCGGGUUCACGGCGUGCAUGAAGUCGACGGAGGCCGAGCUCGACGAGGCGCGGCGCGAGAACGCGCGGCUCCUCGAGUCGCAGCGCUCCUGGCGGGCCGAGGUCGCCAAGCUACGGGACAUCCUGAAGCAGGCGGUGAAGGACACCAAGGUGGCGAAGGAGGCGCUGGAGGAGGCAAGGAGCGAGAACGCGCUGCUCAAGGGCGUGCUCGGCGACAAGGACACCGCCGUGAAGUGCACGAAGCAGGAGCUGGAGUGCCUCCGGAUGAGCGAGGCCGCGGCGCGGGACAGCGUCAAGGAGCUGCAGAGCAUGCUCGUGGCGACGUCGUCGAGCCCCACGGCGGCCGCCGCCGCCGCCGCGGCUGCAAAGCUGGAGGCGGAGGAGUGCCAGACGCCGCGUGUAAGGGUAGGACCGCCGGGGCUGGAGAAGUACCCGUCGGACUCGAAGAUAAGUCCGCCGGCCGGAAUCACGCGACCGCGGCGGCUGUCGGAGACAUACGAAGGUUCGGCGUACGACAUAUUUGGCACGAUGGACGACCAGAAGGGUGUUGAUUUGGGCGUGUUCUCGUCGAUGCCGAGGUUGCCUGCCCGGCGGCGGGUGGUCCUUCGCAAGGUUGGCAGCUUGUUCAGGUGGAAGAGCUUCACUAACAAAUAGCCGCUGGCUGGGAAACAGGGCAGUGGCAACUGGUUCCUUUUUUGCUCUCCUAAUCUUGAGGGUGCUCCUGGAUUCUUGUGUGGUGUAUAUUACUGUAUUGGAGUAGUAUAUCAUAUCUGUGACAUCUUAAAAUUGACCAGUGUACACCGUGUUGAGAAUGCGCAGCUGAUAAGCUCAGGGUGAAACUGAGGAGUGUUGAAGGUGUCUACAGAAGUUGGAUGGGAAUCCAGGGCACUGCCCACCGGUGCUCCUUUUAGAACUCCGAAACACGGGAAUAACGCAUGUACACUUAUACUGCCUCUAUUUCAAAUUAUAAGUCAUUCUAAUAAUCCUGAAGAGUCAAAGCAUUUUCAAAUUUGAUCAAAAAUAUAGAGAGAAAUAUAAAGAUUUAUGUCAUAAAAUAGGUACACUAUAAAAAUAUAACUAACAAAGAAUUUAAUGAUACUUGGUUGAUACCAAAAAUGCUAUUAUUUUGCUAUAUACUCCCUCCGUCUCACGAUACUAGGCGCAACUCAAAAAUCACAAAGACCAAGGAGCAAACUAAUUAGCGCGUGCUCCUAAAAAUUUCUCUUGGGUUCCAUCUCCAUUUUAAUGCAUGCAACGUUUCUUCACGGCGCCGUUAGCCAAAACACCGAGCUACUCCCAUGCAUGCCUACACGCAGAUGCAAAUUACGGAGCUCAUCUAACGGAUGGGAGUAAAACGAGGAGGUAUAGCAAUCUGCAGUAAAUUGUGCAUGCAAAACAUGCUACUGCACUAGCUGUUGCAUGCAUCGGAAGAGUCUGGCGCCUUGUAUCCUGGGACUCACUGAAAAAGCAGUUGCGCCUAAUAUCUUGAGACGGAGGGAGUAAAUUUGGUAAAAUUUAAAAAACUUUGACUCUCUAAGAUUUUUGGAAUGACUUAUAAUUUAGGAGGAUGGAGUAUUUAUAAAUAUAUGUAAACUAAUUCAUUUAUAUAAAAACGUAGGAAACAGAAAAAAUCCAGCAUCUCAAAGAAGGCUUUAGCUCGGAGACCACAGAUGAUAAUUCAGUGUCACUUUGGAACGUAGAAUUUUCUUAGGAUUUAUGUAGGAGUUUCAGCGAAACGAGUUCAUUUCUAUAAAAAGGAACACCGGAGACGGGAGAGGGGGAGAUCCUGCAUUUCCAAGGAGACCUCAAUCCAAAGCGCAUGAAUGUAACCUCUUUUAUUUUUGAAAGAUCUGCUAUCGGCUUUCAUUGAUAAGUGAAGAAUAGUUACGAAUACAAGUUCAGGUGCAAGUAGCGCCACCCCUCUUUUUGCAUGGUUUCACAGAAUUUAACCUAAUCUCAGUGGAACCCUCACCGGAGCCAGAGAGGACAGAUCUCAAGAGGCAAUCACAGUAGCAACUCAAAUGCACAAAGAUCGAGUGAUUGUAAGCACCACAAAAGACACUAGCAAAAUUUCUAAUUCCCAAAACUUUACGUGGUUAUUAUUUAACCAUCACUUGACAGUCCAACAAAAUUCGAAUUUAGCAAACGGAUUUUAUUACAUUUUAUAUGCCCGGGGAAAAAAAGGCAGCUUUGUGUGAUGCAUAGUCGGAGCUGUACCUUAGGCGGCCCGUGCCAGAUCAGGUGACCAUAGUCUAGCCCAAAUUUUUUAGGCCCAAAAUAUACGGAGCGCACACGGCCCUGGUAACUCCCUCCUGAGUCCUGACUUCCGGCACGGACGCACGGUGACACGCACGUGAACCGGUUCCACGAUCUCGCCGCGCGACGGUGGACAACGCUGCCCACUGCCCAGUGCCCACCCGGUGCCGCACCGUAGUCCGUAGACCUGCUCUACAGCGCUCUGGAAACGGGAAUUUAGGUCGACGCGACGCAGUGACCCGCCACCGGUCUUGGUCCGCCAACAAGGCAAGAAUCCAGAGCACAGAGCCGCGCGUGCGGUGGCCGCCCGGCUUUCCACGUCAACGGAAGGGAAGGAAUUGUUGUGAGGGUCGCUCCCAGGUCCACAUCCGAUACACCGCCACACCGGUCGGUGGUGACACGUCCCAGUUUCAGGUGUGCAACCUCUGCAGCCGACAGUCACAACAACAGCGCUCUGCGCUGCGACCUGCCUACUAGCUUCAUUGCACUUGCACAACUUCCAGCGGCCGGUGUGCAUCCAUGUACUAUGUACUCUGUACUCUAUCAUCGAGCUGGUUGUGACGGUUGCCAGAACUCCAACCUGUAUAUUGUAUAGUAUCCGUGAAUAGCUCAUCCAAUCAAGCCUAAUCAAUCUGGUCCGAUAAUGAGCACAUGGUCAACUCAGUUUUCUGAUGUUCAUGUGUAUUUUAGAGGCUUGCACGAAGGGCAAGCAUUCCCUCGCCACAGAUUGUAAUAUAUAUCUUAUUCUUCCUUGACCGAGCGUACGUUUUUGUUUCGGUCAAAUACGUUUGUAUGAAAUAUUCCUGCCGGUUUCGUCAUGAAUGCAGAGUUGCGUAUGUGAACAAUUGUUCAUCAAACUCUGACUUGGCUAUCUAGAAACUGCACAACUAUAUGUUCCUAAAACUAUUUGAGCCCCGCUACAUUAAACCUAUGGCUUAGUCAGUUAGACACAGGCUGUUUGGACAAGCAACUAAUUUAAUUUAGAAUACAACUAGCAUUUCACUAAAUAAACCCUUCAAGAUAUAUUAAAAAAAUGGACAACAGAAAUACUGUGUCAAAUAAACACAGUUGACAAUAAAAUUAUGAGACUCCUCUUGCUACUCGCUUACACAGACAGAAAUGAUAAAAAAAAAUUACAAAAAAAAACACAUUGUUGGCAACUCCAUUUGUUAUUUAAUAUCGUAAUGUUUUUCCCACCGAUCGAAAGUAUACAAGUAUUGCAAACAAAUGUUGACAAGUGAAUGGUAUGUGUAUUUUUUUUGUCAAGGAACAGGAAUAUAUUAAUUAGCAGCAUGAAGCCGCAAUAAUGUUUUCAUCAGGCCAGUCUCAAUGGACAGUGUCACUGCACGGUUUCACAUACCAACACGUC
RNAcentral lists this long non-coding RNA (65857 nucleotides) under Sorghum bicolor (sorghum). RNAcentral's name for it is "long non-coding RNA (SBIC_LNC001735)". Lineage: Eukaryota; Viridiplantae; Streptophyta; Magnoliopsida; Poales; Poaceae. The record is from RNAcentral.